UGGAGGGUGCUACAAACACGAUGCCCAACCGCUAAGAAAGGAAAGCUUCCACAAGGAGAUACUGUACCAUCACUCUUCAAGUAAGGUAACAUCUUAAGGUACUUGACUAUCACUUUUAUAAGCUUUUCCUUGGUUUUGGCGUUCACAUGAAUAAAAGAAACAAACAGGUAUGAUUUACAACUCUAGAUUAAUGAACCCAAUUGAUUCAAUAUGUUUAGUCCUUCCACCUUUGUGAUCCUACACUCCUAAUAUGAGCUAAAAUGUUGCACACGCAAUCUUUGGAAGAUAUAUAUAAAAAAACAUUUACUUAGAUUAUCUUUCCAUAGGUUGAGCGAUCUGAUCUGACAAAUGUUUUAAAUGCUACACUCAUGAUCUUAUUAUCCAUCAACUUUAUCUUGCUCACUAUGCUUAAGGUUAGAGAGAACAAAUACACUUUUGGUUCUGUUGGUGUUUUCCACCAACAGAGCCCAUGCACUUGAUCUCUGCCUUGUCUCUAUGAGCAGGUACACUUCGAGCAUCAUAUGAAGGACUUUUACAACUCCCAGACUCCACCAAGUGAAGAACCUAGAUCUACGAGCACAAACACACUGGAGAGACUGGACACUCAGGCAAUCACUGCCCUGAGAUGCUUGAGGACAUAACUACUGGAGUAACCCAUAGAAGUAAUUACUGACCUUCUGCCGGUCAAGAGAGGCGAUCCAGGACGCACCGUCAUCCCGAUCUCCAUCGACACGGUGGACUUCCCAGAAGUACUCUGUGACUUUGGCUCCAGCGUCAACAUUAUACCCAGGGUACUCUAUGAAAAAUUCUUUACACAUCCUUUAUUAGAGACAGCCAUGUGUUUGCAUCUUGCAGAUCGUACGCUAAGUUUCCCAAAGGGAAUAUUGAAGAACCUCUGCGUCCGAGUUGGUACCUUAUACGCUCCAAUAGACUUCGUGGUGAUAGAGACUGAUACUAAUCAGAGGGCACCGAUCAUCCUAGGGAGGCCAUUCCUGAACACCUCGGGAGGUGUCAUCUACGCUAGUGCUGCUAAAAUCCAUUUCUACAUCAAGGGGAGGAAUGAGACGUUUUCCUUCAAGAACAAGACUACACAAAUCUCAGAACAUUCCCGACAUGAACCAAGGAAGAGGACCAACAGGAGGAACAGAAACAAGCAAAUGUGGACUGAGUCAGCUAAGAUGGUCACUGCAGCUCAAGAAGGUCAAGAUCGUCAACUCAAGUCACCUUUCUUGAUCAAGAAGGACGACCCUAGUGUUCCAAGCAUCAAGUGCACAAUCAACGAAUAUUCUUUUGAGAAGACACUCUACGACACCGGAUCUGACGUCAACAUAAUGGCCGCAGUCACUUAUUAGCUCCUGCAUGGAACCAUGCCCCUAUAACCAACAUACAUUCAGCUCCAGAUGAUUUUAAGGUUAUUGACAUGGGAGAAGACGAGUACAAUCCACCCAUCACCAUUGGGAGACAGUUCCUCAGCACCGUUAAAAUAAUCAUCUACAUUGGAACCGGAGAAGUCCACAUGAAUUUCCCCCCUGAGAAGGUACGCCGCUAUUUUACUGACCCUAACUAUAUAGUUGAAGACUCUAAGCAGGUCAGGACAAGAAGGAGACGACGCAACCGCAACCAGAGAAGGCAAAAUCAUCCAGGACAGAUGGGUAGACUAUGAUGGAGAAGUUGUAAGGUCUGAAGAUAUACAGCUUGAACAGAACUGUCCUGAGGAGACCGUAGCACCGAGUCAGGUGUGUAGAGAGAAGAUAACUAUACACGAAGAGCAGGCGCCGCCGGAACCACCGACUACGCCAUCCAGUGAAUCCCAGGACGACUGAGAAAACGGAGAGUCCAGUUCGGAGUACUUAAAAACACCAACGCCUUGCCAAGAGGUAAACUUGGUAGUUAUCCUUUUUCCCUUUCAAUUAUUUAAAAUAGUUUGCUUAGUUAAUCAGGUUCAUAUCAUCUUAAAAAUAAAAUAAAAAUAUUAAAAAUAGUAAGCCCCAUGUGAGUAUGCUCAUGGCAUAAAACCCAUAACUGUGGUGGCAUAAAAAUAAAAUAAAUAUAUUUCUGUCCUAUAAAAAUAAAAUUAUAAAAAUAAAAUUAUGAUCCUACUAAUGAGUAACAUUUAUUGAGGAGGCUCAACAUGAUAAAGGCUAGAUAUUUAUGCUAACACUUAACUAGCUCCACGAAGCUUUGUUGUUUAUUUGAGCUCCAUAGAAUUCAAGGAUCAAAGAAGACUAGCAGACGGAGGACAUCCUAAUCGCUGUCACGGUGCUGCUAACAUUCAAAUACACCUCCGCCACCUGCUAGCUACAUCAGAAGGAAUUACGUCAAAACCCAGCUUGGGGGAGAGCACCCCCAUUUAUCCAGCUAAGUAUUCUACUCACGUUUAUACUUUACUCAAGUAAUAAAAAGAAGCAUAAUCAUAAAAACCCAAAUAAAGAUUUUGUGCUUAUACAUAUCUCUUUGCUUAGUUUGCUAAAUAAAUAAAUAAAUAAAAUUUGCUAUGAACCCUCGUGAUAAGCUCUCAUAUGGAAAUGAUGAAUAGUUGCUCUGCCAUGACUAUUUCUCAAAAUUGAAAUCUCUCUCAAGUUUAGGCAUGACUGUUAUUAAUUAAGAUUUGCUCUAAACCUGAACUUGUGGGGAGAGUACUUGAUCUAAAGUCUAAGUCGUUAACGGAUACGAUAUGGGAAGGUUGAGCUGCUGUUUAUCUAUUCAUAGAGAUGCUAGAAUUAUGGAGAAUUUCAUCUUUGAAAAUCUUUAAAUUGUUGCAUGAUGAGUUCCUGUAUGGUGAGAGUUUAAAUUCCUACCACAGCCAUAUAUACAUCCUUGCUAGACUUUGAGCCACACAUUUACUUUUUACUGCUUAUGAGCAUUGAGUGUGGUCAAACUGUGUAGACCCUUAGGAGCUUGUCAUGUGGUUAAAUCAAGAUUCACUUGCACGUUCACUCAUACAUGCUACUUCUACUUCAGAAGUACGCAUCCACAUAUAUCCAUCCAUUUCCAUCUCCAGAACCACCCAAAAAUAUUCUACUCCUAAUCCGGGAGAGAAUAGCCAAAAACAUUUUUGUUUUCCCCUUUGAAAUAAAUGCUCAAGUUAUCUUGGUUACUACCACUUGCUAUUUUAUUUCAGGAGAUGAGUGCUCUAAAAAAAGAAAAAAAAGAAAAAAAAAGAAGAUACGAGGAAAUAAAAAGGGGCAAGUGCCCGGAACCUCAAAAGAAAAGAAAAAGUGAGACGAGAGGUAAAAAUGGACAAGUGUCCGACAGUAGAAUUAGGGGUACAAGAUACCCACCUGAGAGAAAAGAAAAAGAAAAUAUAGAGCAUCUCAUUCUUCCCAAAAGUUUCAAAAGAGCAAGGAAGGUAUGUAUCCCCUCAAAAGAGCAAAAGUAGAAUUAGACUUUCACCAUUGUUAUCACCAUCAUCACCAUACACCAUUCAUUCGCCACACAUGCACAUCUUGAUUUGACUUAUUGACUUGUUCUUCUGGAUCCAUGGUUUGACUAUGCAAUAAAUGUCUUGUAAGUAUGUAUUAGCUGUCUCCCACCUAUGAGCUAAAGAUAUCAAUACCUUAUUAGAGUAGGGUGAGAGAGAAGGCAAUGUCACUAUGCCUCAUACCAAAAAUACCACAUACUUUGAGAGAAAGCAUACACCUUUACUGCCUUGGUAAGGAUCCAGAAAUACCACAAAAGAGAGACUAGAGAGAGUCAUACAAGGAAUCUCUGAGUUUUAUUUGAAAAUCUGCAAAAACUCCAGAGCUAUAGUUAAUCGAAGAACAAGAGACAUGGCGCUUGACUAGACCGUUCUAUGUUUUAACUGCUCAAGACAGAAGUGACGGUUACAAGUCCCAUGGUGGAAGGUAAAAUGAGUAAGUUUAAAUCUUAACAGUUUACCCUAACCCAGAGAUGAGAUCUUGUUUGAACGCAGAAACCACUGCAGAAACCACUGCAGAAACUCUUGAGUCCAUCUUUGCUCACGGACAAGCAAAGGUUAAGCUUGGGGGAGCUUGUUGACGGUCCUUAAUGCUCACAAUUAACCAUCAAUUAAUCAUGGAAAAGGAUCCAAAUGCAACCAACACCUAGACUUAGGGUUUUAUCUGACAGAAUUCCACGAGUUUUGGUGUUUGUGUAUUUCUGCAGGGGGUUAUCAGGAAAUACGGAAGAAAGGCCCACACGUCGGGUUUACAUAGAGAUAUUAACGUGCCGCACAAUUUUCUAUCAUCUAGAAGACUCCAGAAGCCACGGGACCGAACGGGAAGGCAAUCGGGCUCGGAGGCAGGGCGCCCGCCCAACUCUCCUGGGCGCCCGCCCAGCUACAGUGCCCAAUCAGGACACGUUUCGCGGACAACGCUCCACCGACCCAAAGGAUCAAGGAAAACCGUGCGAUCAAUGUCGGUUUGAUCCGACGGCCCAGAUUCACUUGAAGGGACUAUAAAACCAGACCCCCUGGCCCCUAGAGAUCAUACCUCUUCUACGGAAUCAAAGCUAGGGUUUCAAGUCUUCAUCCAAGUAGAGAGGAUCCCUCUAGUUCUUCUAGUUCUACCUCUAGUUCAUCUAGAUCUAGUUCUAGUUCAUCUAGUUCUAGUUCUAGUUCCUCUAGUUCUAGUUCUAGUUAGUUCUAGUUGUAAUCAAGAAAAUAGGGAGAGAGAAGAGGAGAGCGGAGGAGGAGCCGGAUCUAUCGGAUCUUCCUCAACAUUGUACUUUUGCAGCAUCUGGUUCGUUCUUCAUCGUUCUCCAGGUUCUUCAACUCAUAACUCCUGAGUUCUCUAAUUACUUUUAUUUACAUUCAAGUUAUUUAUUGGAUUCCCGCUUGCAUCAUGUGCUCUAAUCUUUGAAACAUUAGAGUAGUAAUUAAUAGAUUAGACGUGGUGUUUAGUCUUGCAAUUACCUGGAAUUGCACCCAAUCCUGCGGAUUGUUGUGGUAGCCUUAGGGUAGUGACAGCCCUAAUGGUCGACGUAUUCCACCACGUUCGGAUCGGUGUUUGUAGGACCGUAGUCGGAGCUUCCUAGCCCCCUUCUCAUCUCUUUCUGUGGUUAGUGUUUUGAUGUCCCGAAAUAGAUAAUCUUGAAGUAAUUCUUGAUUCUUAGAUCAGCUAGAGAACUCUUAGGAAACUUCCUCUCUUCCCACCAAAAAUAAUUAUAUAGUUAUCCUUGGGCGAUCUUGGAUCUUAAUUAGUACACUCACGUUCUCUGUGGAAAAUCGAUACUCUGGAAUACUCCCGGGUGAAAGCUACAUCGGUAUCCGUGCGCUUGCGGAUUUUUCUGUUUGCGUUUAAAAUACCCAACAACGUCGGAAGCAGCUGAAAGAAGUGCAUCGGUAGAUCCUCAGCAUCAAAUUACUGUUGCCGAUGCCAAAGGAAAAGGUUUGAUCCAAGAGGGAACUAACUCGGGAAGGCCUCCCCGAUCCAGUAUUGUGAUAACUCAUAGAAGGCCUCGGGAGACUUGGCAGCAACGUGAGGAUCGGUAUCGGCGCUAGCAAGAAGACUUUCGUCGGGAAGAAGAAGGACGCCGACAGGAGUGGAAUCAGCAUAGGGAUCAUUGGAAUUGUCCGUUAUUUAUCCAUUGUUGGGAACAAAAUAUUAAGCUUCCUACUGUCAGAGACUGCCCUGAAUGUAAUGGUUAUGAUCGGUAUGACAGAUCAGAUCGGCAGUAUCAGGACAGUGACCGCCGAUUUGAUGGGCCGAUUAGGGGGAGAGCAUCAGUUCAUGAUCGGCUGGGGGGCAGACUCUGUGUACACGAUAGGGUUGGUGACCGUGUUGAAUAUUUCCCAGGAACCAGGAAGAGCUUGAGGAGAUGGCCAAUGCACGAGUUCCCGAUGAGUUCAUAUUUUGUAGGGAUGCUAAUACUUAUCGGAUGGAGUCAAGGGAAAGUCGUCGCCCAUCGGCAAGGCAGCCACAACUUCCUCCAUGGUGUCCAGAGGGAUUGACUAGGACUCAGAAAAGGAGGCUGCAGCGCGAAAGACGAGAAUAAUUGAACAAAGGCGAGAAUUCUGGCCAAUCUGGAGAUCAGCCGCAACCAGAUCCUAAGGGAAAAGGGCCAUCGGCAGAUGUUAAGAUGGUGUUUAUGUUGCCAAUGGAGUUCCUUGCGCCAUCCAGUGAUGAUGAGGAGCAGGAUUUUUCCGACCAGAUAGCUCAGUUGGCUCUAGAUCCGAUGACAGCUACCUUUGAAAAGCCUGCCGACAAUGAAAGGCAGCAUCUUAAAGCUCUGUUCGUCAAAGGAAGAGUUGAUGGGCAGUCAAUGACCAAGAUAUUAGUUGAUGGUGGGGCUGCUAUUAACAUCAUGCCAUAUGCAGUCUAUCGGAAGCUUGGGAAAGGAGAUCAAGAUUUAACCAAGACCGAUAUGAUGCUAAAAGACUUUGAAGGAAAUGUGUCUCCGGUUAAGGGGGCAAUAUGCGUCGAGUUGACCAUCGGCAGCAAAACCUUGCCGACAACAUUCUUUGUGAUCAGUGGAAAAGGUGCCUACAAUCUACUACUGGGGAGAGACUGGAUCCAUGCCAAUUGUUGUAUCCCAUCGACAAUGCACCAAUGCUUGGUUCAGUGGGUAGGUGACAAGAUUGAGAUUGCGUCGACAGAAUCAGAUACCUAUGAAAGGACUAGGUGUAUCUCGGGGAAACUUGGGAGAAGGAUUUCCUCAAAGUUGCCGAUUAUGAAAUUCCACCGAUCCAAGCAGUCGGUUCUGAUGAGGAGUUUUAAUGGAUAGGUUCGCCGAUGAUGGAAAAUUAGGCCAGGGGUUCACAUCGGCCGAUGAUUUGGUAGAGGUAGAUAUAGGUAGUGGUGAUAAGCCUAGACCUACUUUUAUUAGUGCUAAGUUAAAUUCCGAGUAUAAGCAGCAAUUAACCGAUUUGUUAAAGGAAUAUAAAGAUUUCUUUGCUUGGGAUUAUACCGAGAUGCCUGGUUUAGACCGAUCUAUUGUUGAACAUCGGUUGCCCAUCAAGUCUAGAUUUCGGCCACAUCAACAGCUAGCUCGCCGAUGUAAUCCUAAUAUUCUUCCUAAUAUUAAGGCUGAAAUAACCAAACUUAUCGAAGCUAGAUUUAUUCGUCAGUGUCGGUAUGCCGACUGGAUUUCCAAUGUUGUUCCAGUUUACAAGAAAAAUGGGAAGCUUCGAGUCUGCAUUGAUUUCAGGAAUCUCAACAAAGCCACACCGAUGGAUGGUUAUCCAAUGCCGGUUGCCGAUUUGAUGGUUGAUGCUGCGGCUAGACAUCGGAUUAUAAGCUUUAUGGAUGGCAAUGCAGGGUAUAAUCAAAUAUUCAUGGCUGAAGAAGAUAUUCCAAAGACUGCAUUUAGAUGUCCUGGUCAUGUUGGGUUGUUUGAAUGGAUAGUCAUGACCUUUGGUUUGAAAAAUACUGGUGCUACUUAUCAAAGGGCUAUGAAUUUUAUCUUUCAUGUGUUCAUCGGCAAGCUGGUGGAAAUUUAUAUUGAUGAUGUGGUGGUUAAGUCUGAAGAUUUCACAAAGCAUCUUGCCGAUGUGCGAAAGGUGUUGGAAUGCACAAGGAAACAUGGUUUAAAGAUGAAUCCCAAUAAGUGUGCCUUUGGUGUAUCGGCAGGGCAGUUUCUUGGUUUCAUGGUGCAUCAGAGAGGAAUUGAAAUUAGGAGACGAUCUAUUGAUGCUAUAAAUAAAAUUGUUGCCCUUACUAACAAGAUUGAGCUCCAAUCCUUGAUCGGCAAGGUAAAUUUUAUCAGGCGGUUUAUAUCUAAUUUGUCUGGCAAAAUUUGUGCUUUCAGUCCUUUGCUUAAGUUAAAGGCCGAUCAAGAGUUCAUAUGGGGGAAAGAGCAACAGUUGGCUUUGGAUGAAAUCAAGAAUUAUUUCAUAAAUCCUCCGGUUCUGAUUCCACCUCAGCAAGGAAAGCCCUUCAGAUUAUAUUUAUCUACCGAUGGGAUGGUCAUCUGUUCGGCUUUAAUUCAAGAAUUUAAGGGGAAGGAGCGUGUGAUUUACUACUUAAGCAGAAGAUUGAUUGAUGCUGAGACCAGGUAUUCGGCUAUUGAAAAAUUAUGUUUAUGCCUAUAUUUCUCCUGCAUUAAGUUGAGGCACUAUUUACUAUCGGCCGAAUAAAUUGUUAUAUGCAAAGAUGAUGUGGUCCAGUAUAUGCUAUCUAUGCCGAUCAUGAGUGGCAGGAUCGGUAAGUGGAUUUUGGCACUGUCAGAAUUCGAUCUACGUUACGAAUCGGCUAAAGCAGUUAAAGGACAGAUUAUGGCCGAUUUUGUAACUCAACAUUGCGGUGUAGUGGAAACUUUGGAAAUCGUGCCUUGGACGCUUUUCUUUGAUGGAUCCAUGUGUGACCGAGGGCAUGAAUCGGCAUAGUGUUGAUUUCCCCUCAGGGGAGGAAGUAUGAGUUUUCUUUGCCGAUUGUUGCCACGUCAAUGAAUAAUCAAGCCGAAUAUCAAGGAUUAAUCAAAGGGUUGGAAUUGUUAAAAUAAGUUCAUGCUGAUGCUGUCGAAAUCUUCGGGGAUUCUAUGCUGGUUAUAAAUCAAUUGGCUGGAAAUUAUGAAUGCCGAAGCGAAGUCCUAAUAACUUAUUACAAAAAGAGUAUACAACUGUUAAGGGAAUUCAAGGAUUUCCGAUUAGAGCAUGUUCCUCGGUUACAUAAUGAGGAGGCUAAUCGGUUGGCUCAGCAUGCCUCAGGAUAUCAACCUAUAGUGAACAUGUUAUCGGCAAUCAGUGCCGGUGAUUGGAUAAAAGAAAUCGUUGAUUAUUUAAAGGAUCCAUCUAAGAAAGUUGAGAGACGUGUUCGGUUUCAAGCCACCAAGUAUGUGCUCCUCGAGGAUGAAUUAUAUUAUCGAACAAUUGAUGGGAUUCUUCUCAAGUGCUUAGGUGAUGAUGAGGCAAAAAGUUUGAUGGGAGAAAUCCAUGAAGGAGUAUGUGAAGCACAUCAGUCGGCGUUUAAGAUGAAGUGGAUGAUCAGGAGAAAUGGGUAUUAUUGGUCGACUAUACUUGAGGAUUGUUUUAAGUAUUUCAAAGGGUGUCUAGGAUGUUAGAGGUUUGGCAAUAUUCAAAGAGCGCCCGCAUCGGCUAUGAAUCCCAUUAUUAAACCUUGGCCGUUCAGGGGAUGGGCUAUUGAUCUAAUCGGCCAGAUUUACCCGCCAUCAAGCAAAGGGCAUAAAUUCAUCUUGGUUGCCACCGAUUAUUUUCACCAAGUGGGUUGAAGCUAUUCCUUUGAAGAAAGUCACAUCGGCCAAUAUGAUUGAUUCUGUGAAAGAACAUAUUAUUUACCAAUUUGGUAUUCCUCAAACAAUUACUACCGAUCAGGGUACUAUGUUUACAUCGGGGGAGUUUGAUGAGCUGGCAAUCGGUAUGUGAAUUAAAGUGUUAAAUUCCUCUCCUUAUUAUGCUCAAGCUAAUGGGCAGGCCGAAGCAUCCAACAAAGGGAUUAUCAAACUUAUUAAACGGAAGAUUGAAGAGAAUCCUAGGAGGUGGCAUACAUUGUUGAAUGAAGCUUUAUGGUCAUAUCUGAUGGCUUGUCAUGGAUCGACCAGAGUUUCACCUUAUCAGUUGGUGUAUGGACAUGAUGCAGUGCUACCUUGGGAAAUUAGGACUGGAUCUAGGCGAUUAUCUUUUCAAGAUCAAUUGAUUGCCGAUGACUAUGCUACUUUGAUGACAGACGAGUUGGAUAAUUUAGCAAGACAUCGGUUGAGAGCUUUGAUGAGUAUAGAAGAAAAUAAAAAGAGAGUUGCCAGAUGGUAUGAUAAGAAGAUAAAGGCUAAGGAAUUUGCCGAUGGAGACUUAGUAUGGAAACUAAUCUUACCGAUCGGGACCAAAAGUUCAAAAUUUGGAAAGUGGUCUCCUAAUUGGGAAGGUCCUUAUCGGAUAAAUCGGUCUGCUUCUGGCAAUGCUUAUAUUUUAGAAACUCUCGAAGGAGUUGAAUUUCCCAGAGCAUUGAAUGGCGAAUAUUUAAAGAAAUAUUAUCCUAGCAUAUGGAUUGAUGCAUGAAAGUUUAAGUGCUGAUAAACAUUCCUAUCGGCUGGAUCAAACUGUAUCUGGGGCCGGACUCAAUGUUUUAAACGGGGGCCGAUAACAGUCCUAUCGGCUAGACCAAAAUAAUCAGGAGUUUGUAAAAGAAAAGAACAAAACAUGCCAUCGAUGAAGAGUUUAUAUGUUUAGCGGAGCCUGGAUUGUCGAUAUGGCACGUAGACGGAUCUGAUCGGCUUCCUCUAUCUCCUUUAUGUCUUCAUCGGUAGAGCCCUCCACUAGCCUCAGUUUCUUCUUCAUCUGUAGUGCCUUGGCAGCCUGGAUGUUUCGCUCCUCUUCAAUAGUCUUGAUUGCUUCAGGCAGCUGGCUUUCUUCCUGUUGAGCUUGGGACAGAGCUUCUUCUACUUGUUUGAGUUCUGCUAACAGGGCUUCUCUCUUCGCCGAUAGCUCAGAGAUCUUUUGCUUCAGCACGUCUCCUGAGGAUUUCAAAAUGCCGAUGCUCUUAUGCUUUUCAUCGGCAAGGAGUUUUACUUUCAUCAUCUCUUCUGAGAGCUGGGCGUGAGCAGCUCUAUCGGCAAGGCGCUGAGCAGCCUUUUAACACUAAAGCUGCCGACUCUCCAAGUGUGCAACCUUGAAGAGGAUCUCCUCGGCAUCGGCAGAAAUUUGGCCUCUGAGAGCCUUGAGCAGGGCCUUAGCUGGAUCGGAGUCAUCAACCAAUUGGGCCGUAUCUUGAUGGAGGGCCGACAAAUCUUCCAGUUUUGCUCUAAUCUCUGCCGAUGAGAUUCCAAACGCUCGAGAAGAACUUGCUUCCUCGCCUUCAUCCUCAGAGAUUUCGAUGGCGAAGGAGAACAAGCUGUCGGGAGAGUCCUGUUCCUGGAAAGGAAGACAAAAUAAGUUAUUUUAUGAUCAAGUACUGACGAUGAUAAAAUAGAGACCGGGUAACUUACUUGUUUCAGAGCUAUCUCUCGCCUCUGGCUAGUUGAGGCCGAUGGAACCACAGGCUUAUCGGCUGGAAUUGCCGAUGAAACUAUGUCAGUUGAAAGAUUGACAGAAAUAAUUAAUAAAAUGGAAAAAUAGGUUCAUCGGUAAUAAAUAGAAAGUAUGUUACCUUGAGGGGGCGCAGUACUUGUUUGAAUCGAGGAGACUACUGAUGGUAUGAUUAAGCUCGCUGGAUCGAUGGUCUGCUCGUGCACAUCAGCCGAUGUUUCUUCUGGCUGAGGUUCUUCUGGCUGGAGUUCUUCUGUUUGGAGUUCUUCUUGUAGCUGAGGGGCAGAUGAUGCUUGUUGUGUCUAAGCUUCUGGAGAAGAGGGGGAUGAUUCCACCGGGAUCGGUGACCUCGGAGGAGGGUAAGGCGUUGCUGUUCUCUAGUGCUUCGCUUGUGAUCUGGUACUCUUGGAACCUUUUCUCUUUGGUUGGCUGGACUAGGGGGCAUCGACAGUCGUACUUCUGGUCUUUGCCGAUUUGCCAGUGUGCUGAUACAACAAUGAAAGUUUUGUGAGUACAAGUGUAACAGGGUAUUGAUGAGGUUUUAAUUAAAAUAAUAAAGUUACCGAUGAAGUUCCCAUGCUAGCCGAUGUAUCCUGAAAAAUUGUGUAAGUAUAAGAAUGGAAUCGGUAUAAGUUGAAGAAUUUGGGAGUUUACCUUGAAGGCUUGUGCCAAAGCAGUGGCAGCUACCGAAGGGGAUGUUUUCGUCCGCUUGGUGGUGAUUUUCUUGAGACGCACACCCCGAUGCAUUAUAGUAGCCAAGGUUGGAGCGUUGUUGCCGAUCAAAGAGAUCGGGCCUGAUGGAAGGAGUUCAAUCGGCCUACCACUCCUGCUGACUAAUGGUGGCGUAUGAUCGACCUGUAUACAACAAAGAAAGUAAGUUACUGGUGGAAAAUGAAAGUGAAAGGAUUGAAGCAUCGGUUUAAAGUACUUAUAGUAUUAUCAGGGACUUUGUAUUUGGGGUCGAUCAUGCCACGGUAUGCGAGAGCCGAUCUGCAGAACAGGUGCUCUUUCCACUCUUCCCACCACUGUUUGUAUGCCUGAGUAAUGAAGAGAGCUGAGAUCCAAGCCGAUAGAUCGACAUCUGUAUCGGUGUUUGGUGGAAGCUGAGCUACCCUGAUCCAUUCUAGAUUGCUGGUGAUGGUCUCCCUCAGCUUUAUCCAUCAGCGUAGCAAAGUGCAAUCGGCAGUUGGCCGAAAGCCAGUUCGAGCUAGUGCCGAUGGGUUAUAAAACUCAUAGGUCAGAUUGGAGGCUUUCCCACUGCCGAAGAAGUUCACUUGUAUGGCUCUUGGGCUGAUAAUUGCCAUCAUCACGUCACGGUCCUUGUUGAGAGCAUCAUUGAAGGGGUGGAAAGUCAAGGGGAAUUUGGUGUAUGGAUCUUCAUAAGGCAUCCAUGCCCGCUAUUCUCUGGUUAGACUCUCGUACAGAGUUUGAAAGAAUCAACUAACCUGGUCUUCGUUACCACCAGUGCCAGGUAAGACUAUGGCUGCUUCGCCAAAGUUCAAGGGAGAGCGAGUUGCCGAUUCUUCUUCAUCCAGUUCAUAAUCUUCGGCUAUGUCCCUAGGGAAGCGCUGUGCAAAGAGGUCGAAUUCAAGGCACUUGUGCAUGUGGAGAUUAAGCCACAUGUUGAUGAACCACCAAGGACCCCCUAAGUUGCCGAUGGGUUGGCCGAGCAGAAGUUUCCUGGCUACUUGGUGGAGGAGGUGAUAAGCCGAGCCGAGCAAGUAUCGGCCAAGAGGAAAUCGGCCACCAUCGGCUAGUCUUUCUGCUGCCGAUAAGUAAACAGAAGUUGGUCCUGCCGAUCGGCCACAGAAUACAAAUUUAUCCAGCUACAUAUUCAGAAAAGUGGUCUAUUCCUUUGCAUUGAUAGGACUUGUUCUUCGGUACUUCUGAAUGUACCCGGACCAACCGCCGAUAGCACGAGUUUUUACCUUAGCACUGGGUUUGCUGUCGAACAGGUGGCUGUUAUCGACAGUGGAUAUAUCUAAGCCGGUGAGCAUAAGUACAUCGGCAAGUGUAGGAGAAGCAGGGCCAUGGCCAAACACAAAAGCAUUGAGUGUGUCUGACCAAAAGUAUGAAGCAGCGAUCAGCAGUGACUCAUUUCUCUCCAUAUCGGCAAGAGAUAAUCUAAUACACUAAUCUAACUUCCGCUCGCCCCAUUGAACCUCGUUUGAAUGGCUGACUCUCAAAAACCAAUCCUUUCAUCCCUUGGUAGGACUGGGCCAGGAACGGAAGGCAUCUUUCCAUAGAUCUAGGGAGAAGUUUUCGGCUCUAAAGAGAACCCUGUUUGUCUCUGCAUUUAUCAGAUCGGUGGGAUCCGGAUUUCCUAGCGGGCCAAGACAUUGGAGGUGAGGUUGAUCGGUAGGAAUAAUGAUCUUAUCGGCCAAGUCCUAAAGGUUUUUGAGGAUAAAAGAAAGAACAAAAAGAAAAAUGAGUAUUCAGUGAAAGAAAUCGCAGAUGAACAGGAGUACGGUAAAGGUGCGGAUAAGAAGGGUAGUGAACUGGCCUCAGGCACGGUGAAGUUGAUGGCCAUUUUCUCGCGAGGAAGAGGAUCGAAGACUUGGGGGAUUGGUGAGGAAAGCCUUCUUUGGAGUUCUUGGAAACCAUAGAUGGUGCCGCCGCCGUGAAAGUGGAUUUUGGGCUGUAGGAUGACAAGAUGGAGAAGGAGUGCCGGAGAAGGAAGUAUUUAUAGGACAAAAUGGGCAGGGGUAAAUCUGACUUAUCUCUUGCCGCAUCCAUGAAAUCUGAGGGUAUUCAGGUGGAUAUGGUAACUAUUCGCACGAUAAUCAAGGGAUUGCACAGGUGAUUUGACAGCAAGCGGUCAUGAUUUUGGAGAUAUUUCACUGUACAAGAUCUCCUGGUCGGUCCAUCGGCAGUUCUCUCUAACGAUAAUAUUGCCGGUGGGCGUGUAAAGUGGAGAGAUUCGGUUCGGGAGGUUGAGGAAUUCGAGGAAUAUGCAGGAGAAUCGGGCCAAGGUUGUUCGGAUUUGAAGAGCAGUUACCAAAUUGGGAGAAUUAAUUGCGAAAAGGCACAAUUACUGCAGAGAAUUUUGGAGCAUUAAUGAUUUUAUACUCCGAAAUUGGGAGGCAUGUGUUGACACCGUUUUUGGACACGUACCCGGGGGUCGAUAAAGUAUAGAUCGACAGAUGGAGCAACGGUAACUAGUCUACAGGGAAGUUGCCGAUGAGGAUGGUUGCUGAUGAAGAGACGAUUGAAUAUGACAAAGUCCAGAGGUGGUGACGUGUUCAUGCCGAUGAUCAGUAUUAGUGUUUGCCGAUGGCAAUAACAGGAGGUCUGCCGAUGACUCUGAACGAAAACGUGGAGAUUGCUGAUUGAUCUGUGGCGGUGUCCCGGUCGGUUACAAGGGGAUAGUUUUAUGUUUUCCAUAGUUAUUUAAAUUCGUUUUGUAUACAGAUUCUGUUCAAUUUGGAAUUCGAGUCCUAGUCAUGUCUAAUUGUAGCUCUUUGAGCAGGGUAUAAAUGUAGACCCUAGGGCCUUGUAAUGAUGAAUCUAUCAAUCAAUAAAACACAAGUUUUUACUCAUAUUCCAGCAUCUACUUUUUCGACGACUUUGUCAUAUUUUUUCUUUUUACUACGAGUUCUUAAGGAUUCGUCGACUUAAGCUCGGUGUAUUCUCGAGUUCCGUGUGACCACCUCUUGGCCGUGACAUCCGGGCACAUCGCUGUUGUCGGGACUAAAGUGUUCAAGUUACCACCUUUUCCGAUAGUAAGGUCAAAUCGGCUGGCACACCUUAACGUUUAAAUCGGGUAUUAGCUCUUUGUGUUUGCAGAUUAGCUUUUGCAUCAACAGGUAGAAAGAAAAAGACUUAAAGAAGGAUUCAUGGUUACUAAUUAUAUUAAGUCCACCACUUGAAUCAAUCAAUCAAAUGCAAUUCAAGUGGGUAUCAAGAAUAGUUCUUUGGAGAGAGGUCACUUCUCCCUACGUGAGCGGUGUGCCACACGAGGAGUGGGUAAACCAAGUGUGGUGCUUCGAAGGCUAACUAGAAGUGGUGAUCUAAAGGAUAUUUGCGAUGCUUAGUUGAAGCAAUCAGAAGGAUUGAUCAAGAAAGUAAGCAACACCCAAAAUGAGAGCUACAUAUUUCAAUUGGUACUCUUAUUAGUUCUCUCAUGCAAGCAAUGGUAAAAAAUAUGAAGCAAGCUAACCACAACAAAAGAUAGUGCACUUGAUUAUAAGUGGUUCUCAAAUUCAUAUGGGUGAAGAUUUGAUCUAUCAAUUGGCAUUUAUAAUUUGUCUUCACCAAGCUUAUAAUUGGAUUUCACAUUGCUAUUUGGAGCUAAAUUGGAUUCUUAUUGACUAUCCUCUACUCUAAGAUAGCAAAGGUAUCAUUGUAAUGUGCAUGAUCAUUUCAUCCCUUACUGUUGACACCGUUUUUGGACACGUAUCUUUUGACGUGUAUCUGGGGAUAGUAAAGUAUAGAUCAGCAGAUGAAGCAACUGUAACUAGUCUACAGGGAAGUUGCCGAUGAAGGUGGUUGCCGAUGAGGAAACAACUGAAUGUGACUAAGUCCAGAGGUGGUGAUGUGUUCGUGCCGAUGACCAGUAUCAAUGUUUGCCGAUGGCCACAACAAGAGGUCUGCCGAUGGCUUUGAAGAAAAAUGUGGAGGUUGUCGAUUGAUCUGUGGCGGUGCCCCGGUCUGCUACAAGGGGUAGUUUUAUGUUUUCCUUAGUUAUUAGAAUUCGUUUUGUGUAUGGGUUCCGUUUAGUUUGGAAUUCGAGUCCUAGUCGUGUCUGGUUGUAGCUCUUUGGAUAGGGUAUAAAUGUAGACCGUAGAGCAAUGUAAUGAAUCUAUCAAUCAAUCAAACACAAGUUUUUUACUCAUAUUCCAGCAUCUACUUUUUCGAUGACUUCGUCAUAUUUUCUUUUUACUACGAGUUCUUAGGAAUUCGUCGAGUCAAACUCGGCGUGUUCUCAAGUUCCGCGUGAUCACCUCUUGGCCGUGAUAUCCGGGCGCAUCGCUGUUGUCGGCACCAAAGUGGUCGAGUUACCACCUUUGUCAAUUGUAAGGUCAAAUCGGCUGGCACGCCUUAACGUUUGAAUCGGGUAUUAGCCCUUUGUGUUUGCAGAUCAGUUUUGCACCAACACAUCUUUUGGCACGCCUGAUGGGACGAAUUCAAGAUCAAGAUCAACAUGGCGAAUACCGAGUUCGACUUGGAGAACGUCAUCCCCGUGACGGAAGCCAAUCUCAGAGAUGAGCAGAAGCAAGCUAUUGCAAAAGCCAUGGAGGACUACAAGCAGCAAUGUUUGAAAUCCUUCAACAUCAAUAGGAGCGGCGAGGUGAUCCAAAAGUAACCAUUGCUGGCACCUCGGCAGAUUACUUUUGAAGCCAAUCCUAGUAAACUCCAAGACAUGGUUGACAGUACUAUUAACCACGCCUUGAUCAAUCAAGCUGGUGUGCUGUCCAACACAGUGUUCAUACGGUGGCUAGAACUUUUAAGGAAGGACAAUUGCCGCCAAAUUAUGUGGGCCCUGCCUAUCAUCAGCCAGGAUCACCAGUGGUCACAGCUCCAUCGGCUACUACGGCCGCUGCGAGUACAAAAACUACUUCUCCAAGCACAUUAGGGAUCACUAAUGCGCAAUCUACACCGAUGACGACCAAUCCAUCAACAUAGGAUGGGCAAAUCAAGCUUGCCACAGAUCUAUUGGCAUCGGCAAUGUCGGGAUCUGUUCCUCCCAAUUGGUGGCGUUACGGUAUGCCGCCAGAGAUGAUGUUGAAGACUCCUGGAACAUCUUAAGUGGCUGACUUGACAGGCAAGGCUCCUAUGCCAUCGGCACCUCCAAAUCUGCCGAUGAAUCAAAGUCCCCAGUACACUACAACUACUACUGCAAGACCUUACACUGGGAAUUCUCAAGCUCCAACGUUCCACAUGCCUAACGCAUCGGCAGAUUCAAUGCCGACCCAGCAGAGGUUUAUGACACAGCCAGGGUAUGUCAAUUCAAUGACGAUGCCCAAUUUCCAGCCAUCGGCAGGGUUUAUGCCGAUGAAUGCUAACAGUGGAUGGACGGGACAAUUAGUCUUUCCACAGAUGCCUCAACAGAAUCAUCAGGCUCCAGGGUUUCAACAAGGCCAAAUCCAACCAGGGUUUCAGAAUCAAGGGUUGGCUCACCAACCGAUGAAUCUUGGUUAGCAGAUUGGUGGUCAGAUGGUUAACCCAAUGUUCCAUGCAGAUCGUGCACCUCAGAGACACGUGGAAGCAUAUCAGCAGGUGCUAGAUCCACAACCGCCCCAUCGGCAAGACACCGAUGCUUAUUGGGCCGAUAAGAUAGCUGAAGUAAUGAGAGACCAAUUUGGGAUAAAACCCAAAGUCAAUACUUACUCUUAUCGGACACCAUAUCCUCCCGCACACGAACUGAUUCUGCUGCCUAAUCGGUACAAAGUACCCGAUUUUACUAAGUUUUCUAGACAGGAUGACACAUCAACCAUGGAGCACGUUGUUGAUAUUUGGGAACGCAAUAAGGAAUUGAUCCGCAAGCGCACGGAUAUCGGUGAGCACUUCACCCGGGAAAUUAUCCAGAGUAUCGUAUUUAUUUUUUUUACCACUAGGAGAAAGAGUGCAUCUGACUAACCGGUCUAUUACUACUAACCUUUAGGCACAAAGAAUGUCUUUCGAUGUGAGUGAUAAAUAGAGAAGACUGCAACCGUAGUCUCCUUCUAACCUUGGUAAGGAUGAUCUACUGUUCUAAUGGGGACGCUAACGGAAUCUAGACACCACAAAGGAUGUUCAACCCGCACCUAUAAACCCUAUCCUUCCUGCUAACGAGAUGUGAUCUACAAAGGUAGCUCGGAAUUGUCACGUUCCUCACUACUACCACGGUCCAACUAGUUAGGGAAUAUCUAUGAGUACCCCAGCCUAAACACCACGUUUACGCCAGCAAUGAUUACUCUAAACUCUACGCGAAGAGAUUAAAGUAAACUCAUAAACCAUAAGAACAAUAAAACAAGAACUUACUAGAAUUUAGAAGUCGAAUUACUGAAGAAUCCUAGGAGCAAGCUUCGGGUUAGGAGAACUUGAUCCCGCAGGUACAAGCUUGGAGUAGACACCGACAGGCCGGGCUUCCUCCACUCUUCACCUCCACUCUAUCUCUCUCAAUCUAGUAGAAACUAGAAGAUCUAUUUCUACCUUACAUUGGUUGCUAAGCCUAAAAAGAAAUAUUAAUUAGAGAAGAGGUUUUCCUUCGAGGGCACCCCUCAGUCUCUAUGAUAAUUUCUUCAUGUCUUCUCCAGGGGCCAGGGGGGCCUUGCUUAUAUAGUCCUCCCCUUCUAUGCGUUUUUGGGUCGAUAGGCGAGGUGGUACUAUGUUUUUCUUGAUCCAAUAGGUCGGUGGAAUAUCCCGAACGAAGAGAGUCCUGAUCUGGCUCCAGAGGGGGGCGGGCGCCCAGGCUACCAGGGCGGGCGCCCUGGGCCUGGCCCUGUUUUGCCUCCGCUUCGGUCUCGUGGCUUCUGGAGUCUUCUAGAUGAUGUAAAAUCGUGCGGUGCGUUGAUAUCUCUAUGUAAUCCCGACAUGUGGGCCUUUCUUCCUUAUUUCCUGAUAACCCCCUGCAGAAAUAGAUAAACAACAAAACUCGUGGAAUUCUGUCAGAUCAAACCCUAAUUCUACGUGUUGGUUGCAUAUUGGUCCUUUCUCUUAUUUAUUUGAUAAUUAAAAUUGAUACUUAAGAACCGUCAACACACGUCAAUAGGUUCAUCAUCCAAUGUGGGGAGGCUGCUAACAGAGAUGAGUUAAGGGUUCGUUUGUUCUCGUCAUCUUUGUCUGGAUCGGCUUUUACUUGGUUUAUAUCAUUACCUCCCAACUCGGUGAUUACUUGGGCCGAUCUGGAGAAGCAAUUCCAUAAAUACUUCUUUUCUGGAGUCCAUGAGAAGAAGAUCACCGAUUUGGUCAGAUUGAAACAACGCAAUGAUGAAUCGGUUGAAAGCUUUGUGCAGAGAUUGCGAGAAGUUAAGAAUAAAUGCUAUAGUCUGAUCUUGGAUGAUCGGCAGCUAGCCGAUUUGGCUUUCCAGGGUUUGUUGCCACAUAUCAGAGACAAGUAUGCUUCUCAAGAGUUAGAGAGCCUAAGUCACUUGGUACAGAGGAUUUCUGACCAGGAUAUCAAACCCUUUGAGCCCAAGAGAGCAUGGAAUAAAAAGGUGUCAUUUGUUGAUGAAGCAGCAAGCUCAGAUUCUGAUGAGGAGCCAGUCAUCGGCUUGGCAGAAUGGGUGAAAAAAAGAAGCCGAUGUCUUGCCCUUUUGGGCAUAAAGAGCCAGAGAAGUUUGCAUUCGAUAUCACUAAAGCCGAUAGGAUAUUUGAUUUUCUACUUCAUGAAGGGCAGGUCAAGUUUUCACCCAAUCAUGUGAUUCCAUCGGCUGAAGAAUUAAAGAAGAUGAAAUACUGCAAGUGGCACAAUGCAACCUCUCACAGCACCAAUGAGUGCAAGGUUUUUAGGCAACAACUGCAAUCGGCUAUAGAAUCUGGGAGAAUCAAGUUUGAUAAUUCCAAAGCUCAGAAGCCGAUGAAGAUCGAUCAACAUCCUUUCCCAACAAAUGUGUUGGAUGCUAAGGGAUAGACCAAGGUCUUGACGUCAGAAGCAGCUGAAAGAAGUGCAUCGGUGGAUCCUCAGCAUCAGAUUACUGCUACCGAUGCUAAAGGAAAGGGUUUGAUCCAGGAAGGAAAUAGCUGAGGAAGGCCUCCCCGUUCUGGCAUUGUGAUAACUCAUAGAAGGCAUCGGGAGACUUGGCAGCAACGUGAAGAUCUGUAUCGGCGCCAACAGGAGGAUCACCGUCGAGAAGAGGAUCAACGCCGACAGGAGUGGAAUCGGCACAAAGAUCACUGGAACUGCCCGUUCUUUAUCCAUUGCUGGGAACAGAACAUCAAAUUGCCCACUGUUAGGGACUGCCCUAAGUGCAAUGGUUAUGAUCGGUAUGACAGAUCUAAUCGGCAGUAUCAGAAUGAUGAUCGACGUUUUAAUGGGCCGAUUAGGGGGAGAACUUCAGUACAUGAUCGGUUGGGGGGCACGAUCAGUGUACAUGAUAGACUCGGUGACCAUGUUGGAUACUUUCCCAGGAACCAAGAGGAGCUUGAAGAGAUGGCAAAUGCUCGACUUCCCGAUGAGUUCAUAUUUUGCAGGGAUGCCAAUACCUAUCGAGUGGAGUCAAGGGAAAAUCGUCGCCCAUUGGUAAGGCAGCCACAACUUCCUCUAUGCUGUCCAGAAGGAUUGACUAGGACACAGAAAAGAAGGUUGCAGCACGAAAGACAAGAAGACUUGAGCAAAGGAGAGAAUCUUGGCAAAUCUGGAGAUCAGCAGCAGCUGGAUCCCAAGGGAAAAGGGUCAUCAGCAGAUAUUAACAUGGUAUUUAUAUUGCUGAUGGAGUUUCUUGCACCAUCCAGUGAUGAUGAGGAACUGGAUUUUUCCGACCAGAUAGCUCAGUUGGCUCUAGAUCCGAUGACAACUAUCUUUGAAAAGCCUGCCGACAAUGAAAGGCAGCAUCUUAAAGCCUUAUUCGUUAAAGGAAUGGUUGAUGGGCAGCCAAUGACCAAGAUACUUGUUGACGGUGGGGCCGCCAUCAAUAUCACGCCAUAUGCAGUCUAUCGGAAGCUUGGGAAAGGAGAUCAAGAUUUGACCAAGAGUGAUAUGAUGCUGAAAGACUUUGAAGGAAAUGUGUCUCCGGUUAAGGGGGCAAUAUGCGUCGAGUUGACCAUCGGCAGCAAAACCUUGCCGACAACUUCUUCGUGAUUAGUGGAAAGGGUGCUUAUAAUCUGCUGCUACGGAGAGAUUGGAUUCAUGCCAAUUGUUGCAUCCCACCUACAAUGCACCAAUGCUUGGUUUCAGUGGGUAGGUGACAAGAUUGAGAUUGUCCCAAGAGAUUCUUCUUAUGUCAUUGCAUCGGCAGAGGCGGACACUUAUGAAAGGACCAGGUGUAUCUUGGGAGAGAUUUGGGAAAAGGAUUUCCUCAAAGUUGCCGAUUAUGAAAUUCCACCGAUCCAAGCAGUCGGUUCUGAUGAGGAGUUUUAAUGGAUAGGUUUGCCGAUGAUGGAAAAUUAGGUCAGGGGUUUACAUCGGCCGAUGAUUUAGUAGAGGUAGAUAUAGGUAAUGGGGAUAAGCCUAGACCUACUUUUAUUAGCGCUAAGUUAAAUUCUAUGUGUAAACAAUAGUUAACCGAUUUGUUAAAGGAAUAUAAAGAUUGCUUUGCUUGGGAUUAUACUGAGAUGCCUGGUUUAGACCGAUCAAUUGUUGAACAUCGGUUACCUAUCAAGUCUAGAUUUCGGCCACAUUAGCAGCCAGCCCGCCGAUGUAAUCCUAAUAUUCUUCCUGAUAUUAAGGCCGAAAUAACCAAACUUAUCGAAGCUAAAUUUAUUCGGCAGUGUCGGUAUGCCGAAUGGAUUUCCAAUGUUGUUCUGGUUUACAAGAAAAAUGGGAAGCUUCGAGUUUGCAUUGAUUUCAGGAAAAUCUUAAUAAAGCUACGCCGAUGGAUGGUUACCCGAUGCCGGUUGCCGAUUUACUAGUUGAUGCUGCAGCCGGGCAUCGAAUCAUAAGCUUUAUGGAUGGCAAUGCAGGAUAUAAUCAAAUAUUCAUGGCUGAAGGGGAUAUUCCAAAGACUGCAUUUAGAUGUCCUAGUCAUGUUGGGUUGUUUGAAUGGAUAGUCAUGACUUUUGGUUUGAAAAAUGCUGGUGCUACCUAUCAAAGGGCUAUGAAUUUUAUCUUUCAUCAAUUCAUCGGCGAGCUGGUAGAAAUUUAUAUUGAUGAUGUGGUGGUCAUGUCUGGAGAUUUCACAAAGCAUCUUGCCGAUCUACGAAAAGUGUUAGAAUGUACAAGGAAACAUGGUUUAAAGAUGAAUCCUAAUAAGUGUGCAUUCAGUGUAUCGGCAGGGCAAUUUCUCGGUUUCAUGGUGCAUCAGAGAGGAAUUGAAAUUAGUAGACGAUCUAUUAAUGCUAUCAACAAGAUAGUUCCCCCUACCAACUAAACUGAGCUACAGUCUUUGAUCGGCAAGGUGAAUUUUAUCAGGCGAUUCAUAUCUAAUUUGUCUGGUAAGAUUGGUGCUUUCAGUCCUUUGCUUAAAUUGAAAACCGAUCAAGAAUUUGUGUGGAGAAAAGAACAACAAUUGGCCUUAGAUGAAAUCAAGAAUUAUUUGAUAAAUCCUCUAGUCUUGAUUCCACCUCAGCAAGGGAAGCCCUUCAGAUUAUAUUUAUCUACCGAUGGACUGGUCAUCGGUUCGGCUUUGAUUCAAGAUUUUGAAGGGAAGGAGCGUGUGAUUUACUAUUUAAGCAGAAGAUUAAUUGAUGCUGAGACCAGGUAUUCGGCUAUUGAAAAAUUAUGUUUAUGCCUAUAUUUCUCAUGUAUUAAGUUGAGGCACUAUUUGCUAUCGGCCGAAUGCACCGUUAUAUGCAAAGAUGGUGUGGUCCGACAUAUGUUAUCUAUGCUAAUUAUGAGUGGUAGGAUCAGUAAGUGGAUUUUGGCACUGUCGGAAUUCGAUCUGCGUUACGAAUCGGCUAAAGCGGUUAAAGGACAGAUUAUGGCCGAUUUUGUGACUCAACAUCGGGGUGUAGUGGAGACUUUGGAAAUUGUGCCUUGGACGCUCUUCUUUGAUGGAUCCACAUGUGACAGGGGGGCAGGAAUUGGCAUAAUAUUAAUUUCCCCUUAGGGAAAGAAGUAUGAGUUCUCUUUGCCGAUUGUUGCCACGUCAACAAAUAAUCAAGCUGAGUAUCAAGCAUUGAUCAAAGGGUAGGAGUUGUUGAAAGAAGUUCAAGCUGAUGCUGUUGAAAUCUUCGGGGAUUCUAUGCUGGUUAUAAAUCAAUUGGCUGGAAAUUAUGAAUGCCAAAGCGAAGUCUUGAUAACUUAUUACGAAAAGAGUAUACAAUUAUUAAGGGAAUUCAAGGAUUUACGAUUAGAGCACGUUCCUCGGUUACAUAAUGAGGAGGCUAAUCGGUUGGCUCAGCAUGCCUCAGGAUAUCAACCCAUAUUGAACACGUUAUUGGCAAUCAGUGCCGAUGAUUGGAGAAAAGAAAUUAUUGAUUAUUUAUGGGAUCCAUCUAAGAAGGUUGAAAGGCGUGUCCGGUUUCAGGCUACUAAAUAUGUGCUCCUCGAGGAUGAGCUUUAUUAUCGAACAAUAGGUGGGUUCUUCUCAGAUGCUUAGGUGAUGCUGAAGCUAAAUGUUUGAUGGGAGAAAUCCAUGAAGGGGUGUGUGGAGUACACCAGUCGGCUUUUAAGAUGAAAUGGAUGAUUAGGAGGAACAGGUAUUAUUGGCCAACCAUACUUGAAGAUUGUUUUAUAUAUUUCAAGGCAUGUCAAGGAUGUCAGAAAUUUGGUAAUGUUCAGAGGGCACCCGCAUCGGCCAUGAAUCCCAUUAUUAAACCUUGGCCGUUCGGGGGACGGGCUAUUGAUCUAAUCGGCCAGAUUUACCCACUAUCAAGCAAAGGGCAUAAGUUCAUCUUGGUUGCCACCGAUUAUUUCACCAAGUGGGUUGAAGCUAUUCCUUUGAAGAAAGUCACAUCGGCCAAUAUGAUUGAUUUUGUGAAAGAGCAUAUUGUUUACUGAUUUGGUAUUCCUCAAACGAUUACUACCGAUCAGUGUACUAUGUUUACAUCAGGAGAGUUUGACGAAUUUGCAAUCGGUAUGGGAAUUAAAGUGUGGAACUCUUCUCCUUAUUAUGCUAAAGCCAAUGGGCAGGCCGAAGCAUCUAACAAAGGAAUAAUUAAGCUCAUCAAACGGAAGAUUGAAGAAAAUCCUAGGAGGUGCCAUACGUUGUUGAAUGAAGCUUUAUGGUCAUAUCGGAUGGCUUGUCAUGGAUCGACCAAAGUUUUGCCUUAUCAGUUGGUGUAUGGACACGAUGCUGUGUUGCCAUGGGAGAUUAAAACCGGAUCUAGGCGACUAUCUUUUCAAGAAUAGCUGACUGCCGAUGACUAUGAUACUUUAAUGAAAGACAAGUUAGAUGAUUUAGCAGGGCAUCGGCUGAAGGCUUUGAUGAGUAUAGAAGAAAAUAAAAAGAGAGUUACCAGAUGGUAUGAUAAGAAGGUAAAGACUAAGGAGUUUGCCGAUGGAGACUUGGUAUGGAAACUAAUCUUACCGAUCGGGACUAAAAGUUCAAAAUUUGGGAAGUGGUCUCCCAAUUGGGAGGGUCCCUAUCGGAUAAAUCUUUUGCUUCAGCACGUCUCCUGAGGAUUUCAGAAUGCCGAUGCUCUUAUGCUUCUCAUCGGCAAGAUGCUUUACCUUCAUCACCUCCUCUGAAAGCUGGUCAUAAGUGGCCCGAUCGGCAAGGCGCUGAGUGGCCUUUUGGUACUGAAGCUGUCGACUCUCCAAGUGUGUUGCCUUGAAGAGGAUCUCCUCGGCAUCGGCAGGGAUCUGGACUCUGAGAGCUUUAAAUAGGCCUUGGCUGGAUCAGAGUCACCAACCAGUUAGGCUGUAUCCUAGUGAAGUAGGGCCAGCAGAUCCUCCAGCUUUGCUCUGAUUUCUACCGAUGAGAUCCCAAUUGCUUGAGAAGAACUCGCUUCCUCACCUUCAUCCUCGGAGAUUUCGAUGGCGAAGGAGAACAGGCUAUCAGGAGAAUCUUGUUCCUGGAAGAGAAAAGGAGAUGAGUUAUUUGAUGAUGAAAUAUUAGUAAAAUAAAGGAUGAUAAUCAAAUAACUUACUUGUUUCAGAGCUAUCUCUCGCCUCUGGCUAGUUGAGGCCGAUGGUACUACAGGUUGAUCGGCUGGAGUUGCCGAUGAGACUAUGUCAGCUGAAAGAUUGAUAGAGAUAAUUAUAAAGUGGAAAAAUAGGUCCAUCGACAAUAAUUUCAUAGACAGUACUUUACCUUGAGGGGGUGCAACGCUUGUCUAGAUCGAGGAGACUACCGAUGCUAUGAUUGAGCUCACUGGAUCAGCGGUCUGCUCGUGUACAUCUGUUGAUAUCUCUUCUGGCUGGGUUCUUCUAGCUGAAGUUCUUAUAGCUGAGGUUCUUCUUGUGGCUGAGUUGGAGAUGGUGCUCACUGAGUCUGAGCUUCUGGUGAAGAAGGGGACGAUUCUACAUGAAUCGGUGAUACUGGGGGAGGAGAAGAAGGUGGUGUCGUUUUCUGGCGUUUUGCCUGUAACUUGGUGCUCUUGGGGCCUUUUCUCUUAGCUUGACUGGCUUGGGGGGCAUCGGCACUUGCCUUAGUGCUUCUGGUCUUGGCCGAUUUGCCAGUUUGCUGAUACAACAAUAAAGGUUUUAGUACGAGUGUAACAGAGUAUUAAUGGAAUGAUGGUUGAGAAAGUUACCGAUGAGGUGCCCAUGCCUGCCGAUGUAUCCUGAAAAAGCCGUAUAAGUAUGGAGUGGGAUCGGUGUAAAUUGAAGAGGUAAAAAUUUUCUACCUUGAAAACUUGCACCAGAGCAGCAGCAGCGACCGAUGGAGAUGUCUUGGUCCGCUUGAUGGUGAUUUUCUUGAAACGCGCACCUCGAUGCAUUAGGGCCACCAAACUUGGAGCGUUAUUGCCGAUCAAAGAAAUCGGCCCCGAUGGAAGUUCGAUCGGCCUACCACUUCUGCUGACCGAUGGCAGUGUAUCGUCAACCUGUGUAAAAUAGAGGAAGUAAGUUGCCGAUAAGAGCAAAAAAUAAUAAGAUUGAAGCAUCGGUUGAAGACUUACAGUGUUAUCAGGGACCUUGUACGCGGAGUCGAUCAUACCGCGGUAUGUGAAAGCCGAUCUGUAGAACAAAUGCUCCUUCCAUUCUGCCCACCAUUGUUUGUACACCUGGGUAAUGAAAAGAGCUGGGAUCCAGGCCGAUAGGUCAAUAUCUGAUGUAUCGGCGUUUGGUGGGAGUUGGGCAAUUCUGAUCCACUCAAGACCACUAGAGAUGGUUUCCCUUGGUUUCACCACAUCAGCAUAACAGAGUGCGGUCGGCAGCUGUCCAAAAGCCAAUUGACUGGCCAAUGCCGAUGGAUUGUAGAACUCAUAAGUAAGGUUGGAAGCUUUUCCACUGCCAAAGAAAUUCACCGGUAUAGCUCUCGGAGUGAUGAUUGCCAUCAUCAGAUCAUGGUCCUUGUUCAGAGCAUUAUCAAAGGGAUGAAAGGUCAGGGGAAAUCUGGUGUCUGGGUCUUCAUAAGGCAUCCACGCCCGUUGCUCUUUGGUCAGACCCUCGUAAAGAGUCUGAAAGAAUCGGCUAACCUUGUCUUGAUUGCCACUGGUACCAGGCAGAACUAUGGCAGCUUCACCAUAGUUCAGAGGGGGACGAGUUGCCGAUUCUUCCUCAUCCAGUUCGUGAUCUUCAGCUAUAUUUCUGGGGAAUCGCUGUGCAAAGAGAUCAAAUCCGAGGUGCUUAUGCAUAUGAACGCUAAGCCACAUGUUGAUGAACCACCAGGGUCCCCUAGAUUGCCGAUGGACUAGCCUAGAAAGAGUUUCUUAGCUACCUGAUGGAGGAGGUGAUAAGCAGCACGGAGCAGGUAUCGGCCAAGAGGAAAUCGGCCACCCUUGGCCAGUUUCUCCACUGCCGAUAGAUAGACAGAGGUUGGUCCUGCCGAUUGGCCACAGAAUACGAACUUGUCUAACCACAUGUUCAGGAAGAUUGUCUGCUCCCUCUCCUCGAUAGAUCCUGUCUUUUGGUAUUUCUAAAUAUAUCCAGACCAACCGCGGAUAGCACGAGUUUCUACUUUGGCACUGGGCUUGGUGUCAAACAAGUGAUUGCUAUCGGCAGUGGAUAUGUCUAAACCGGUGAGCAUGAGUACAUCGGCAAGAGUGGGUGAAGCAGGGCCAUGGCCGAAUACAAAAGCAUUGAGUGUGCCUGACCAAAAAUACGAGGCAGCUAUCAGCAUCGACUCGUUUCUCUCCAUAUCGGCAAGAGAUAAUCUGAUGCACUGGUCUAAUUUCCGUUCACCCCACUGGACCUCAUUUGAAUUGCUGACUCUCAAGAACCAGUCUUUCCAUCCCUUGGUGGGACUAGGCCAGGAACGAAAAGCAUCUUUCCAUAUAUCUAAGGAAAAGUUUUGGGCUCUGAAGGGGAUUCUAUUUGUCUCUACGUUUAUUAGAUCGGUGGAAUCUGGAUUUCCUAGCGGGCCAAGACAUUGGAAGUGGGGUUGAUCGGUAGGAAUUACAAUCUUAUCGGCCAAAUCCUAAAAAGUUUUGAGGAUAAAAGAACAAAAAGAAGAAAAAGAGUGUUCAGUAAAAGGAAUCGUGGAUGAACGGGAGUACAACAAAAGUGCGAAAAGAAAAAGGAUGAUGAACUGACUUCGGGGACGAUGAAGUUGAUGGCCAUUCCUUCUUGAGGGAAGGAGAGAUCGAAGGCUUUGAGGGUUGUUGGAGGAGAUCCUUGUUGCAGUUCUCGGAGUCCUCGAGUAUUGCCGUCGCCAAGAAAGUGGAUUUGGGGCUAUAGAAUGACAAGAUGGAGAAGGAGUACCGGAGAAGGAAAUAUUUAUAGGACAAAACGGGCAGGGGCAAAUCUGACUUAUCUCUUUGCCGCAUCCGUGAAAUCCGAGGGUGUUCAGGUGGAUAUGGUAACUGUUCGCACGGUAAUCAAGGGAUUGCGCAGGUGAUUUGACAGCAAGCGGUCAUGAUUUUGAAGAUACUUCACUGUACAAGAUCUCCUGGUCGGUCCAUCGGCAGUUCCCUCUAACGGUAAUAUUGCCGAUGGGCGCAUAAAGUGGAGAGAUUCGGUUCGGAAGGUUGAGGAAUUCAAGGAAUCUGUAGAGAAUCGGGCCAAGGUUGUUCGGAUUUAACGGUCGGUUGCUAAAUUGGUGGAAUUAAUUGCGGAAAGGCAUCAUUACUGUAGAGAAUUUCGGAGCAUUAAUGAUUUUAUACUCCGAAAUUGGGGGGCAUGUGUUGACACCGUUUUUGGACACGUAUCUUUUGACGCGUAUCUGGGGAUAGUAAAGUAUAGAUCGGCAGAUGAAGUAACGGUAACUAGUCUACAGGAAAGUUGCCGAUGAAGGUGGUUGCCGAUGAGGAAACAACUGAAUGUGACUAAGUCCAGAGGUGGUGGCGUGUUCGUGCCGAUGACCAGCAUCAAUGUUUGCCGAUGGCCACAACAAGAGGUCUGCCGAUGGCUUUGAAGAAAAACGUGGAGGUUGCCGAUUGAUCUGUGGUGGUGCCCCGGUCGGCUACAAGGGGGUAGUUUUAUAUUUUCCUUAGUUAUUAGAAUUCGUUUUGUGUACGGGUUCCGUUUAGUUUGGAAUUCGAGUCCUAGUCGUGUCUGGUUGUAGCUCUUCGGACAGGGUAUAAAUGUAGACCCUAGAGCAAUGUAAUGAAUCUAUCAAACAAUCAAACACAAGUUUUUUACUCAUAUUCCAGCAUCUACUUUUUCGAUGACUUCGUCAUAUUUUCUUUUUACUACGAGUUCUUAGGAAUUCGUCGAGUCAAAUUCGGCGUGUUCUCAAGUUCCGCGUGAUCACCUCUUGGCCGUGACAUGCGGGCGCAUCGCUGUUGUCAGGACCAAAGUGGUCGAGUUACCACCUUUGUCGAUUGUAAGGUCAAAUCGGCUGGCACGCCUUAACGUUUGAAUUGGGUAUUAGCCCUUUGUGUUUGCAGAUCAAUUUUGCACCAACACUUACUAGUAUGCAGUUUGUGCAUAAAGUACAUGCUUAAUAGGAUCAUGUAUUACAAAAGAAAAGUUUUAAAUUCAUAGCUUACCACUAUUGCUUGAUUGGUUAAUUGAUCUAGUGGUAUGUAUAUGAGUUUGUUCAUGAGCUUGUGAACCCAAGUACUUGAUCCAUUUUGGAUUGUUCACAUGUGGCAAGUACAACAUUGACAAGAUAACCCUUACUGUGAGGUGUGAAAAAGCUUGUCGUUGGUUCAAACCGGACUUGGAAGCUUAGGAAAAUCAAUAUAGUUCAAGUCAACAAUUAGAAGCGCAUGAUGAUUAGAGUACAAGAACUAGACAACAAUGCAAAUGGAUAUCUAGACUUAAAGGUUUCUUCAAUUGGUACAAUUGGUACUCAAGAUAGCAAAUGUUUAAGAUUGCAAACGAGUGGUUCCAAACUAGAAGACCUAAAUUGGUAGAAGAUUUCCAUUUGGUAUCGGACAAGUUCUUUCAAAUGAUAUCACAUUUAUACAUAAGGUAUCUAUCAUACAAGAAGGUGGUUCCACAAGUGAUCCUCAACUUUAAGUGAUCAUCAAGCGAAGCAAGUUCCCUCACCAACAAGAUUGUCAAGUGAAUGACCCAUGCUAUGACAUAGGGGGAGGUGCCCCACCGAUUGGUAUCAAGGUUAAAGAUCCUAUGUGGAAUCUCAAGAGAAAUACAAGUAAUGUCAUUCCAACACAUAUGGUGAUGUCCAUCAAAAAUACAAAAUUCAAGUCUCAACCAUCUACCCCAUAUGCAAUCCUUUGUCACAAUGAUAUGCACACCUUUUCAAUUGGUAUCAAGUGAUUUAAUUGGUAUCACAUACCUUAUAUGGAAAUUGAUGACAAAGUGGGAGAGAUUGGUACAAAGAUAUGAUAUAUAGGAAGUUGGUUUGUACAUGGACAUGGACAAAGAGGGAGCAACAUUAAGAUGGAUCAAGAAGGAUCAAAAUUCUUGGACAAGAGAAGCACACAAGUAGGGGGAGCAAGCUCAUGAACCUUGUUUGUUUGCAUUUGAUAUGUGCAUAUUCAUGUGCUUGCUUGCAUUGCAUAAGUUUUUAAAUUCAAUAUGCAUGCUUGUGUGGUGUAUGCUAGUUAUAGAACUUGAUGAUGAUGUGAUAACUAGCAUGCAUAGGUUGGUAGCUAGACUUGUCUUUUUCAAGUAAAAACUAGACCCUUGUUUAUAAUGUUGAUCUCACGGGGUUUCUAGUGUUUUUGUUGUCUAGCUACACAUGGUGCUAAGGAUGAUGUACAUCGAAUGUUUCAAAUGAUAUCGAAUUUGGUAUCGAGCUACAAAGGCUUACUCUAUACACCUUAGCACUUAGUAGGGUUUUAUGGUGCUUAUCCAAUUCUUGACAUAUAGCUUAAAUGUUGGAUAAGUAGCAUAAAAUCCAAAACAAGUUAGCAACUUACACUUGUGUGAAGUGCUAGCUUGAAAAAGCUUAAUUUCCAUAUCUUUGUAGAGUUGUCAUCAAUUACCAAAAAGGGGGGAGAUUGAAAGGUCCUUGUUUGGUUUUGGUAAUUGAGUGACAACUUAGGUGGACUAAUAAUGUUUAUAUGAGAUACAAAGAAGAUUAGUCCACAGCUGAAAAUGUGAUGACGAAGGAGCGAGACAUGACAUGGAGUCAUGUGACCAAGGUGGAGAAGAUCAAGAUGAGGCUUGGCUUGAUGGACCGGUUGCAAGAGUGAAGGGCAAGUCGAAAGCUUUAAAGCAAGGGACCGCAUGUGACAGUGAAGCUUGAGCAAGAUUUGGCAUCGAUGGACCGAGGCAACGGUGAAGAGCAAGUGAAGUCAAGAUCGAUGAACCAAUAUGGUCACAUGAUGAUAUGAAGUGGAUCAUAUCAUUUAUGAUUGGUAGGUGCAUGUGUUGCAUCAACAUUGAAGGAGUUGGAAUGGAAAGCACAAGGCAAAGGUAUAACCUAGGGCAUUUCCAUUUCACCGGUCAUAGGGGAGUAGAGAAGUGCUUGACUGGAUUUAGGAUAGAUAACUGUACUAUAAAGAGGGGAAAUCUUUAAUUGCAAUGGUUAUCUAGUGCCACUAAGUGUUGAGUCUCAUUUGCAUAUACCUAGCGCUUAAUGACGUGGUGAGUUGCAUGAGAAAGUCUAUAAAAAUGAUUGUGAAAUGCUAACACACAUGCACAUGGUGGUGUACACUUAGUGGUGUUGGCAUAUUUGCAAAGGAGAAGGUGUUGCAGUUGAUUUUGAUCAACUUGGUGAAGAGAGAAAGGUGUUUUGGUGUUCUCUGGACAAUAGGAUGGCUCUUGGAUUGCGACUUAGAUUGAGUAUUCAUAUGGAUUGUAUAGCCCUCUGAGUAAGCUUUCCAAAAUGUCUAAGAUCAUCGAAUUUGGAGUUCGAAGCUAAAAGUUAGCAGCCUAACAAGGUUUGAGAUGGUGCUGAGAAUGCAGGACCGGAAGUUCCGGUGGAACUUCCGAUGGUACUUCUGGUACUUGACCGAAAGUUCCGGUCAGCCUGGCAGGAUGUUCUGGUUGGGCUGUGAGAGGUGCGCUCGUGUUUGAGAAAACACUUUCAGUGUCUGACCGGAAGUUCCGGUCCAUGACCAGAAGUUUCGGUCCAUAACCGGAAGUUCGGGUCCAUGAAUGGAAGUCCGCAUAGGAGCCUUUGUGCAUGCCCUCGCGUGUUAGGAUUCACUUCCAGUCGGAAGUUCCGGUGGAACUUCCGAUGGGUCAGAGUCUCUCACAACAGUCAGAUCUGCUUGGCCACAACGGUCAGAUCUGCUUAGACUGAGGCUCCAACGGUCAGAUCUGGUUAGACCGAAAGUUCUGGUCCUAGGCACCGGAACUUCCGGUGCCACUCUAUAAAUACCGUUGGGAGCACGAGCUGAGUGUUAGAGGGAGCAGUUUUCUUCUUCCUACUCUUCUCCCUCCCCAUUUGGAACGCGAGGAAGUUAGGGUUCCUCCUCUCCUCUAUCUCUCCCAUGGAUUUGAGUUGAAAUUUCUUAGAGAGAUUGAGAGCCCUUUGUGGGUGUGGAUGAGAGGUUGAAGAUCCACCAUUUCCCCUUCGUCUCCCACUCAUGCUUCUAUUUUGAGUGAGGGAGUGAGAGCCUAGUGUGUGCAUUCGGGAUUUGCAUUUGGUGGCACUAGGAAAUCUUUGUGAUUGGGGAUUUCUUGUUACUCUUGGUGAUUUCCAUCACCUAGACGAUUUGGUGGAUUGUGACUCCGUUUGAAGCAUGCAAGAAGGUUGUGUGGUGCUCCAGAGGAGGAUUUGUGAGGGGUACGGUGCUCACCCCGUGGGGAUCGUGAAGAGAAACUCUAGUGGAUUGCUUGUGGCUUGGAGGAUCCCCAUCUUGAGAGUGGAUGUGUGGCACCUGCUGAGGGUUUGGCUUUGGAUUGUCAAUUAGCUCAUGAUCCAUCAAGUGGGCGUAUCGCCACAACGAGGAUGUAGCUUGGUGGCAACCAAGUGAACCUCGGUAAAAAUCACCGUGUCAACAUUGUCUACUCUUCUCGGUGGUUUGCAUUUGCCUUAUACAAGCUUGUAUUUACAUUCUAUGUACUUAUGCUUAUGUAGUUGCUCUUGUAACUAGUCUUGCUUGUGUUGCUUGAUAGUUACCUUCCUGCUUAUGUAGCUAGAAGUAGUUCCCUUGCGUGGCUAAUUUGGUUUGUGUAACCUUAUUAGUCACUUUGCUUAGUUUGUGUAACUAAGUAAGUUGCGCUCUCCAAUUUGGCAUUAGUUGCCUUGUUAUUGAGCAUUGCUAGUGAGCUUAGAAGCUUUGUGCUUUUGCUUACUAGCUGUAUAGGAGCUCCCCAGUUUCCAAAGUACUAGUGGCAUAGGUUUGUGUGACAUUGCUCCUAGAAUUGGUUAGGUGAGCUCUUGCUAAGGAAGCACCUUUUUUCUUGUUUAGGAUCUUUUACAAGGAGCUAGAGAACUUAGAUAGAGGGGUGUAGUCUUGGCUAGACCGAUAGUUUUAAUUCCGCAUUUGUUUCGGUUAGCCGGUGCAAUAAGUUUUAGAAAGGACUAUUCACCCCCCUCUAGUCCGCCAUCUCGACCCUUCAGAAGCCCUGUGGAGUAAGCUACUGAGCAAGAGGCUGAGCAUGGUUGCUGAGCUCCUCGCCACGGCCAAAAAUUAUGCCGAUGCUGAGACAUAGAAAAGCUCAUCAGAGAAGACGUUAGAGGAACCCAACAAAACGAGCAGCCUCCUCGACGAGAUGACACCCAAGACUACCGCAGAUGUUUCGACAAUCGCAGCCUUCGGCGCAACAAUAAUCGCGACCACCAAGAAGGGUGUGAUAGGCGCCGCAACCACCGUGACGAUUUCAGGGGUAAACGACCUUGCGACAACAACCUCAAAGUCAACACAAUCAAGCAUUUUAUGGGUCGACGCGAUUAUUAGGAAGACUACAAUAAAACCUUGAAGGGGUCAUGCCAACUUCAUCCCAAGUCCAAACACACAAUGAAGGAAUGUCGUGUCCUCAAAAGCAUCUACACACAGCAGGCCACUCAAGGUGACACCGCGAAAGCAGCGGGGAAGUGCGACAGGCGCAACCAGGAGGACGAGGACGAAGACUAGGACAGAGAUCCACACCACCAAUACGUCAACCCAACCGACAUUGUCCAUUCCAUCUUCGGAGGGAAAUUCUCAAUUGAAUCCAAGAGGGAGAGGAAACUCCUUAAAAGAGCCUACUUGAACAUGGACAGCUUCGACGGCCUGGUCGCCGACCCAAAGUUUCCACCCUGGUCCCAUCGAGAGAAUCUUUCAGCAGACAGGACCAAUGGGCCACCAUCCCCGAGCUAGGACAUUUUCCUCUGAUCUUGGACCCAUGCAUUAACAGCGUCAGAUUGGAAUGCGUUCUCGUAGACGGUGGCAGCUCCAUCGACAUCCUAUUCCGCAACAGUCUUCCUGCCCUUAAACUAACCCAAGCACAGCUGAAGCCGUACAAAGCUCAGUUCUGGGGUGUCCUACUGGGCCAAAGUUCAAUCCCUCUCGGCCAGAUAACGCUACCUAUACAGUUUGGAACUCCUGACCACUUUCUCAUAGAGUUUGUGAACUUCGUGGUCGCCGACUUUGAUGGAACAUACCACGCCAUACUGGGUCGUCCCUCACUCACUAAGUUUAUGGCAGUUCUGCACUAUUCGUACUUGGUGCUCAAGAUGCCAACCGAGAAGGGAGUCCUAACUAUUAGGGGCAACAUUUACACAGCAUACACUUGUGAGGAGGAAAGCUUCAAGGUCACUGAAGCCAUCGACCUCUCGAUUCAGAUGGUAAAAGCCGUGUCCCAAGCAGCACAAGCCCCGUCUGACCAGCUCGAAGUGCCCGAACAGCAGACCUCAAGGAAGAACGUCAAGUCUAGAGAACAUAAGGAAGUCCGACUAGUCGACAACGAUCCUGAGAAGACGGCUCUCAUCGGAGCCAACCUAGAUCCUAAAUAGGAAGACACGCUCGUCAGGUUUCUAAGGGACAAAGUAAGCGUUUUUGCAUGGAAACUCGUAGACAUGCCCGGUGUCCCCUGUAACCUGAUCAAGCACUCCUUAAACGUCUCGAAGACCGCAAGACCAAUCAAGCAGAAACUAUGACGGUUCACUCGUGACAAAAAGGAGGCUAUUAGGACAGAAGUUACACGGCUAUUAGCAGCUGGGUUUAUUAAAGAAGUGUAUCAUCCCGAUUGGCUAGCCAAUCCAGUUCUUGUAAGAAAAAAGAAUAAUGAAUGGAGAAUGUGUGUUGAUUACACCGAUCUUAAUAAGCAUUGUCCUAAGGACCCCUUUGGUCUCCCUCGCAUAGACGAGGUGGUCGAUUCAAUGGCUCGAUGCGAAUUACUCUUUUUUCUCGACUGCUACUCUGGUUAUCACCAGAUCUCUCUAAAGGAGGACGAUUAGAUUAAGACCUCCUUCAUCACUCCCUUUGGAGCAUAUUGCUACACGGCCCCUUCGGACUGAAAAACGCCAGAGCCACAUAUCAAUGUGCCAUUCAGCAAUGUCUCCAUGAUGAAAUAUGCGACGACCUAGUCGAAGCCUAUCUCGAUGACGUUGUCGUGAAAACCAAAGACGCUAGCACUCUGAUCGAUAACCUUGACCGAACCUUCAAGGCGCUAAACAAGUAUAAAUGGAAACUUAACCCCAAAAAUGCAUUUUCAGGGUUCCCUCCGGCAUACUGCUCGGCAACGUCAUCAGCCGUGACGGCAUAAGCCCUCCAAAGUUAGGGUAGUUCUCGACAUGCGACCACAAAAAAUGUCAAAGACGUACAGAAACUCACAGGAUGCAUGGUUGCUCUUAGCUAGUUCAUAUCUUGACUAGGAGAAAAAGGGCUCCCUUUCUUCAAACUACUCAAAGCAUCCAAAAAGUUCGCCUGGACAGAAGAAGCCGACACAGCAUUCAUGCAACUCAGGGCUUUCCUCACGUCUUCCCCAGUCCUUACUGUGCCUCAACCCAACGAGGUCUUACUCCUUUACAUCGCGGCUACUGAUCGAGUCGUCUCAAUGGUGCUCGUAGUAGAGCGAGAAGAACCAAGCCACAUCUACAAAGUUUAGUGAAUAGUGUACUUCAUAAGCGAGGUCUUAAAUGAAUCCAAGACCAGGUAUCCCUAGAUACAAAAGUUGAUUUAUGCUAUCAUCAUCACUUCUAGGAAAUUAAAGCAUUAUUUCGAUGACGACCACAUCAUGGUAAUGACAAGUUUUCCGUUGGGGGACAUAUUGCGUGUCACAGAACCGACCAAAUUAUAAGAGUUCAAGUGCAGAAACGAUCGCCAAGCAAUCAAGUUUCCAAACUUGAGCCCAUAUAAUCCCGGUAGUCAAUUGAAAUCACGAAGGACUUCAAACCAACUCGCAACAAACCAAGAUCGUAAUAGUUCAACAUAAACACAGCGAAUGUUACAGCCAUUCAUUGCCGUCGAAGCGGCACCACAUCGGAGUCAUUAAGUUAUUACAACCCAAGUUCGAAGUAGUGGAAGCAAAAUAGUUACACACACUUGAUCAAAGUUCAGUUCACAAGUUCUUGUUACUGCCAGAGUCUACACCAUCCUUCCAAAAGCAUCAGAGACGAGAUUGUUAGAGAACCGUGCCCAACGGUUAGUCCUCAUCCCCAGCGGGAUGGAGACAGGUCUUGCAGAAGCCGUCAUAAAAGAUGUCAUCUGCAACAGGUGGGAAUAAACCCUGAGUACGGGAAUGUACUCAGCUAGACUUACCUGUCUAGUAGAACAUAAAAGACACCAAGGUUCAUGCAAGGCUACAUAUCAAGUGGAGCUGGUUGACUCACCUUUUGCCAAAAGCUUAACUCACAACUAAGUUAUUUUGAGAGCAUCAUAUUUAAUUAUCAUCAACCUACCACUAGAUUGGCACCUAUACUACCACACAUCACUUGAUUAUUACAACAAUAAUAACCAUAUCAAAUUCAUCAUAUGUUCUUCUUGCUAUCAUCAUUGUCAUGAACCAAGUUCAUUAGUGAAUGCUACGUUUGCCGCUGCUCUGUCAAGUUCUCACUAACCGGGAGAGACGGCGAUUCGAAUCGAAUUCCUAUCCAGCUGGAGGGUUAUUCCUAGCACUCACCCAAGCAUCCCCUGCCGGAGAGCCAACGGGUCACCUUUGGUACAACUCAGGAAUCGCGGCUCCGAUCAGCGCCGCACUCCCAGGGCUACCACUCUGCCAGGGAGGUCAGGAAUUUUAACUCACCUGCCUUUGGGCUUACGCCAAUGGUCCCCCGCACACCGCACUUCCUCCGGUAGUGCGCACUUUAUACUUGCCGGUCUUCCGGCCUGAGUCAUACUACUCGGCUUCGCGGUCGGAACGAGUUAUCCGGCCAACUAAGUGUUAGGCAUGCGUUCAACAUGACAAGAGGACGUACAACGAUCGGUCCUUAGCUGCCACAGACGGAGUUACUACAAACUUGCAAAACUCCGCCCGGCUUAAGUCAAUUUAAUCAGAUUCCAUCCACGAUGGCACAUAUAGACCAUCGUGAUCCGACAUAGCCCUAUAUCGCGCAGGUGACACGAUAUCACCCGACUUCUACCGAUUAAAGCAUGGCUAAGCUGCUACUCGAUCCUAACUCUACAACCAGGGUAGGGUGAAUUAUCUGGACAAGGAUAGAGUAAAAUGCAGCAAGGGUUUCAUCACAACUCCUAUACGUAAUGCAUCAAUAGAUAUAACAUAUUAAUUAAACUUUUGAAAGUAAAGGGAGACUUAGAAUGCUCCGGGGCUUGCCUUUCACGAACGAUGCCGGCUCGUGAUUCGGGCACUCAACUUCUUCUUCGGGCUCUUCGAGUCCGGCUUGCUGGACCUCGACCUCUUGGCUGCCCUCCUGACCUUCGGGAUUCGCCUGCAGCUCGUAGGAGGCUGUCGCGUCCGAUGCACCUAUUGCAUGCUCGAAGAAUAAGAAGAUGCACAUGCUAAAGAUGAAUGCUUAAUAACACAAGCAACUCACUGGGCACUCAUUUACGGAGCAAAAGUUAUACAAGCUCACACAAGUAAACAAGUUAGCUUAGCCCCAAAACCUACCAUGAUACUAAAUCAGCAAGCAACACGAAACAGGAGUAAUCUGGUAAAUAAAUCAUAACUAAUGAUAGACAGAUCCAACAAACACAAAUAAAGACAUUCUGGAAAGCUUAUGAAAUUGUCUACAAAUCAUCUUUAAACAUCACAGCAUGAUUCAUACAUUAAACCAGACAUUUAAACAAGGUUCCAGGUUCUGUCCCAGAAAAACAGAGAGCACCUAUUUCUGGAACCCAACUUGGAACAGCCAUAACUCUUAAACUAUUGGACCAAAUGAUCCCAAAUUUAAACCAUAGCUAGUUCAAUAUGUUUACUACAACUUUGAUUUAGACAAGUUGCCCAUAAAACCAAAUUAGCAUUAAGCAAAAGUUAAAUUGCUGCCUUGCUGUCCAGAACAGCCUUUAACCCUAUAAUUAAUUAUUUAAUAACGUGACCAAGACACAAACCAUGCCAACCACAUGGCUUAUGACCACAAGCAAAUUAUAAUACAACCAGAACACCAGAUGGAAACUUCCAAACAUUUACUUAACAAGGCAUUUAUUAAUUAAUUCUAGAAAGAAGCAUAAUUACAAGAUGCCUAGUCAAAGUGCUCAGAAAAAUCUACAAAAAUUACAGAAGUACAAGAAUAGCAUCAAAGCCUCACUAUAAACAUUUCAGAGCAAUUGCACAUACCAAAUUAAAGAUAUGUAUUUAACAUGUAACUAGGUGUUUAUUUCAUAAAUUCAGAAACAUGACUUAUAUGGUACCAAACAAUAGAUUUCAGAUUAUUUAUAUCUUAGGAAUACCAUAAACAGGUUUACUACCAAAGUAGAACACCAGCAUAAGCACCAAUUAUUUUAUAUGAUUUAAUUAAAGAAACAAGCCAAAUUUCAAGCAUAACAUACAUAUCAAAUCUGCAGUACUCCAAAAAUCAUGAAAUAUUUACCACAGCACUCUAAUAUCAUACAGAGACUACCAUAAAAUUUUCAGAUUAAACUAAGCAGUAUAACCAGAGAUAUGAAUUUAUCCAUGAAUAACAAGAUUAAAUACUUAAUAAAUAUUUUCCCAGAAAACAUGGUUCAUUUUAUAUUUUUAUUAAAAACUAGCCAUCUCAAGGAAUACCACAAAAUUGGUUUCACAAUUUUUGGAUCUCAGAAACAGGAGAUAUGAUUUUUGCAAGAAAGCCAAAAAUCAGGAUUUUGAAUAAAAGAAAAGGAGGGAAAGAGGUGACACUGACAGUGGACCCCAUCUGUCGGGUCCUUCUUCCUCGCGGCCGAGGCGACUUUCGCCGGCGAUUUCUCCGCGACGGCGAGGUCUCCGGCCAAACCAAGGGCACCAACGUGAUCCCCAAACCCUAGCGACUCGAUUGACCCCUUUUCCCCACGGCGGAGCCACCGGAAGGGGCUCACCGUCGACGAUGGCGGCUCGGCGGAGGUGCUCGGCGUUACGCCGGAGCCCUCAGGCCGGUAGAGCGCAACCUAAGGCCUUCUACAGCACCAGCGGACUACGGCGAAGCUUCCUAGGUACGCGGCUUGGCUUGGAUCCUCGUGGAAAACGCUGGCCACGAGAGCACCCAUCUCCGGCGGAAGCACGGCGGCGCUGCGCACCGUGUCCGGCGACGGAGAGCUUGGUAGAGCGUCCACCAAGUGGCGCAAAAGCUUGCUAAGAACCUAAGCUACCUCUAGGACCUAACCAGAGAUGACGAGAGGCUUCACAGGGCUCGGCAUUGAGUUCACCAGAGAAAACGGUCAUGGCGACCCGAUUUGGGGGAAGAAGGAAAUGUCGGCUCACCGGUGGGUUUCUCGGCGAGUUAGAGGGUGGAGAUUGGAGAGCGGUUCACGGCGGAGCUUUGGGUGAAUUUUGGUGGGCAAUGGCGCAGCAGGGAAUGCGCGCGAGCUCGCCGGAGUAAGCUCGCUGAGGAGAGCUCUCGGCGGCCGCGUUUCUGGCGAGCAGGGCGAGGGAGAGCGAAGUGGACGCGUCCACUCUGCGCGGGCGACGCCGUGGAGGUCAUGCACGCGACGGAAGCUGACAGGCGGGGCCAGGAACGGUGUACGGGCGCCAAAUGUCGACGGAGCUCUGCCGCCGGUUGGCCACGUCGACGAGCUCGGCUUCGAUUCAGAAGAAACGAUGACAGUCUGACAGAGCAACUUCACCGAUGAUUAUCUCCCAAACCAGACCGAGUUAGAAGAUGAUGCAGUUGACAAAGUUGGAGUUCCAAUCGAGUUCUACAACUUUGUCAACUAGAGCAAAGGCCAGAUCGGCCGGGAUUGAGAGAUAUAGAGUUUUCAAAAUCGAUCGAGCAAACUGGUUUCGUUCCAAGACUUAGAAAAUUUUCUAAGUGUUGGAAACAGUCCCAAAUCUGCCUUGUGGUUCACUUUUGAGCUAUUUCUGAGCAUUUUCAUGAGAUGGCCAUAAAACAACUUUUGUUCCUUAUAAAAUUUGCUACAACUUUGCUGUAGGAAGUUUUGACAUGCAAACAUUUUAUAAAACACUUUUUAAAAGCCUAAGCAAAAGAGGUUUCUAGGGCCUAUUUGCACAAACAUGACUUCAAGGCAUAUUUUGGAGGAGUGAUCAACAUGAACAUUGUUCCCAAGGUUAUGUUAAGCAUAGAUAAACUAAUUACCAAAGCAUUGAGCACAAACACAAGCAUGGUUCACUCAAACAUAAGCAUAGGAAGCCUAUUUAAGCAAUUUAAAACACAUUUUUGCAUAGAAUGACAUGGCUCAAGAGAGAUGAUGAUCAUGAUAUGCUUUGAGUAGAUGAUGAUGCUCAUGCUAUGCACAUGAUUGAUGCAACCAUAACACUGGGGUAUUACAGCCCUCCCCCUUACAAAAAUCUUGUCCCGAGAUUUGAAGGCUUACUGAUUUUCGAAGAAGGUUUUGUAAACUUCUUUUAAAUAAUCCUCCGUCUCCCAAGUGGCAUCUUCUUCCCCGUGGUUGCUCCACAACACCUUGUAGAGCUUAACCACACAAUUACGCGUCUCCCGUUCCUUGCGAUCAAGAAUCGCUACGGGUUUCUCCUCAUACACCAAGUCAGACUUCAACUUGAUAUCUCGAAUUUCCACUCGUUCCUCCGGUACACGAAGGCACUUCUUCAAUUGUGAUACGUGGAAUACAGGGAAAAUAGCCCGAAGCGCAACUGGAAGUUGAACUUUGUACACCACAUUACCUUUCUUUUCGAGAAUCCGAUAAGGUCCCACAUAACGAGGUGCAAGCUUUCGCUUGACUCCGAACCUUUGUACACCUUUCAUCGGAGACACCUUGAUGUACACAUGGUCACCAACUGAAAACUCAAUCGGCUUCCUUCUCUUGUCGGCAUAACUUUUCUGACGAGCUUGAGCAGCUUCCAGAUGUUGCUGGAUAGUACGGACUUUCUGCUCCACUUCGUUCACGAAAUCGAUGCCAUAAAACCUUCUCUCUCCGGCUUCUACCCAAUUCAACGGGGUUCGACACUUUCGACCAUACAGGGCUUCAAAUGGAGCCAUCUUGAUACUCUCCUGAUAAAUAUUGUUGUAGGAGAACUCGGCUAAUGGCAACCACUUAACCCAAGAACCUUUUGAAGAGAGAGCGCAUACCCUCAACAUGUCUUCAAGGAUUUGGUUAACUCGUUCAGUUUGACCAGCUGUUUGGGGAUGAUAACAGAGCUGCAGAUUAAAUGAGUGCCAAUUUGCUCAUGCAAACAUUCCCAAAAACGAGCAGUGAACUGUGGUCCACGAUCGGAUAUGAUUGUUCGAGGCACACCAUACUGACGAACAAUGUGCUCGAAAUACAACUCCGCAUACUGAUGUGGACGAUAGUCAGUUCGAACUGGAAUAAAUCAAGCAACCUUGGUCAAGCGAUCUACAAUCACCCAGAUGGAGUCGUAACCCUUAACAGAAGUUGGGAGUCCACUGAUGAAAUCCAUGCUGACUUCUUCCCAUUUCCAAGCAGGAAUUGACAGGGGUUGAAGCAAACCAGCUUUCGAACAGCCUUCACACGACAACAAUUGUCACAACGAGCGACAAAAGCAGCGAUCUCCUUUUUCAUCUUUGUCCACCAAAACAAAGGUUUUAGAUCCUGAUACAUCUUGCUACUACCAGGAUGGAUAGACAAUUUGGAUGAAUGAGCUUCAGAUAAGAUCUGAUUUCGCAGCUCGCGGUCUUUAGGAACCACAAGUCGAUCCUUGAACCAAAGAAUUCCGUUCUCAUCGACCCGGAAAUGAUUGGUUUCUUCUUCCUUCAUUUUCCUUUUUAUAUGGUGGAUACCUACAUCUGUCUGCUGCAAUUCGAUGAAUCGAUUGCGAAUGGUACUUUCCAGAGAAAUCUAGUUGAGCACAAGUGGAUGCAUAAGAUGUGACAACAACAGGUCUUCCACUUGGAUUGAGUGACAGUGCGCUUUCCGACUCAAGGCGUCCGCCACCACGUUUGCCUUGCCCGGAUGGUAGUGCACUUGAAGAUUAUAAUCUUUAAUCAACUCAAGCCACCUUCGCUGCCGCAUGUUCAGUUCAGGUUGAGUGAAGAUAUACUUGAGGCUCUUAUGAUCGGUGUAGAUAUUACACAGAUUACCCAUCAAAUAGUGCCUCCAGAUUUUUAAAGCAUGAACGACUGCCGCCAAUUCUAAGUCAUGAGUAGGGUAAUUGACCUCAUGCUUUCGAAGUUGGUGCGAGGCAUACGCGAUAACGCGACCUUCCUGCAUCAACACGCAGCCUAAACCAAUGCUUGACGCGUCACAAAAGACAUCGAAGGGCUUUUCGAUAUCAGGUUGAGCUAGGACAGGAGCUGAUGUUAGUAAUGUCCUCAACUUGUGGAAUGCCUCUUCACACUCAGGCGUCCACACAAACUUCUCAUCCUUCUGAAGUAGACGAGUCAUAGGCUUGGAUAUUUUGGAGAAUUCUGGAAUGAAUCGACGAUAAUAUCCAGCCAGACCAAGAAAACUCCGAACCUCGUGUACCGAAGUUGGAACUUUCCAAUCCAGCACAUCUUGCACCUUGGAUGGAUCCACCGAUAUGCCUUCUUCAGAUAAGACAUGGCCCAAGAAAGGUACUUUCUUCAGCCAAAACUCGCAUUUGCUAAACUUGGCAUAAAGCUGAUGUUCACGCAAACGCGACAACACUAUACGCAGAUGCCCUGCAUGCUCCUCUUCAUUGCAGGAAUAUACCAAGAUAUCAUCAAUGAAGACCACCACAAACUUGUCUAAUUCAGGCAUGAACACCGAAUUCAUGAGAUACAUGAAGUGAGCAGGUGCAUUUGUGAGACCGAAGGACAUGACAAGGUACUCAUACAACCCAUACCUCGUCGAGAAAGCUGUCUUAGGUACAUCUUCAGGACGGAUUUUGAUCUGAUGGUACCUAGAUCGCAAAUCAAUCUUGGAGAAUACCUUAGCUUUAGACAACUGAUCAAACAAGAUAUCUAUGCGAGGAAGAGGGUAUUUAUUCUUGAUGGUCACCGCAUUUAGGGGACGAUAGUCCACACACAUGCGCAAAGAUUGAUCCUUCUUCUUCACAAAGAUAGCCGGACAACCCCAAGGAGAAGAACUAGGACGAAUAAGACCCUUCUUCAACAACUCAUUUAGUUGGGUUUUAAGCUCAGCUAAUUCAUUGGGUGGCAUUCUAUAAGGUCUUCUAGAGAUAGGAGCGGUACCUAGAAUCAACUCAAUCUUGAACUCCACAUCCCGAUCCGGAGGAAGCCCGGGUAAAUCAUCAGGAAAAACAUCCGGAAACUCACACACCACCGGAAUAUCUUGAAUAGCCUUAGAUGUAACUGCAUUCACAGUGUUACGGAUUUGAAUAUCCUGAGGAAGUUGCACUAGAAAUGCCUCCUUGGUGUUUGGGUCUUUCAACAUCACUACACGAGUGGUGGUGUCGAUCAGAACUCCAUUACCACUCAUCCACUUCAUCCCCAGAAUUACAUCUAUGCCCACACCGGGUAGGACAACCAAAUCAGCAAGAAACUGAUGGCCUCCUAUUUCUAGAGUUGCCCCCAAACCACUUGAUUGGUGGAAAUAUCAUUUCCCACAGCACUAAUACAAUAACUGCCCUUAUCAAGUGUAAUUGCCUUGAUAUUAUGCUUAGACACAAAUUCAGAACUCACAAAAGAAUGCGAUGCUCCUGAAUCAAAAAGCACCAGUGCAUCAUGUUGAUUAACCAGAAACUUACAAGCCGUGACUACCUCACCAGCAGGGAUUGCUUCCACAGUGGUGUAGUGAACACGCCCCUGACGGACGUUCCCUUGGUUGCCCUUCUUCGGCGGGUAAGGACAGUUGCUCUGCCAAUGCCCGGUCAGAUUGCAGUUCCAGCACGGACGGUUGGCAGGCGGAGUCUUGGCAUAGUUGGGACCCGUGUUGCCCCUAGGAAGAGCAAUAGAGUAUCCCUUGCGAAAACCCAUCUUGGCCUGAUUCUUCUUCACUGGAGGGCGGUACCUUUGAUUCGGCGUUGGAGCACGGAACGGUGGCUUAGCUGCCACUGGAGCCUUGGACUGAGAUGACCUAGCCCCAGCCUCAAAAGCCCUCUUGCGAGUCUUGGUUGCAGUGUACACAGUGUUAUAGUUCUCUUGAGUGAGAGCAUCACUGAAAAACUCAUUGAAAGUUGCACACUUAGUGCGGCCCAUAGUCUUCAGCAAUUUGGGGCCCAAACCCCGCUUGAAACUAGCAAUCUUUUUCGUCUCUGUGUUCACAAACUCAGGAGCAUACCUAGACAAAUGAUUGAAAGCAUGCAAAUAUUCCUUCAAAGUCCUGUUGCCCUGAGUUAACUGCAUGAACUCAGUAUGCUUCAUCUCCAUAACACCAGGAGGAAUGAAAUGCCCUUUAAAAGCAUCAUGGAAAAGAUUCCAUUCAAGCACGGUGUCGGCUGGAAGAGCUUCCCGAUACUGAUUCCACCAGAUGCCUGCUGGGCCCUGUAGUUGAUGAGCUGCAUACUCUGCCUUCAAACCUUCAGUCAACCGAAGCAAGCGGAACUUUUGUUCCACCGUGUUCAGCCAUUCUUCAGCUUGAAGGGGUUCUUCAGCUUCUCUGAAAGGUGGGGGCUUCGUAUCCAUGAAGUCCUUGAAGCUACUGUACUGGUUAGGAGCAGGACCUUCGUGUGCAUUACGACCACCCGGAUUUGCCAUCCGAUUGAUGGUCUCGGUGAGCAUCCUCUGAUUUUCCACCAUCAUUUGCAUUAACUCAGCAGGAUUGGGUGGUGGAGGAGGAGGUGGUGGAUUCAUGUUUGCACGCUGUUCCGCACCUUGGGUGCCACGAGACAUCUGUAAAGACACAGUCAGUGAGUAUUGAUGAUGACAAGAUUUGCCGCAGAAGAACUUGUAUUUAUGCCUGAAAGUAUUCGAGAGAAUAGCUUUACAGAAAAGGCACAAUAAUUCAAUUCCACAAAACAACAUCACCAAUCCAACACAUGACAGAGAUAUCCGCAAUAUGCACCACAACGGGAAACAUCAUCAUAACAUAACAAACAUGUUAAGAUUGCACAUUGGGUCCACAAAGUUAUUACAUCAUCACAGUACAUGCCAUGAGUCAAGGUCAAAGUUUCGGAUUACAACAUGGUUACAAAAGCACCACGGCCGACUAGCAUACUGCAAAAGAUCCUCACACAACACUACCCACUACUCCCUACACUCCAGGCUCGUCGUCCGAGUCAGCGUCGAAGAUCGCCUCUACAUCCUCAUCGCUAACCGGCUCAAGCUCCUCGUCCUCCACGUCCUCGUGCAAAGGUGGUGCAGCCGCUGCUGGUCCAUCAACCUCCAUACCAUCAUCAUCGGCCACAAUCACCUGAGGUCCCACCUCUGGAUACACAGGUAUAGGGCGAGGAAUAGGGUGUAGCAAGUUGUUGAGACGGUGAAUCUCCACAAGACCAGCCUCAUCUGAUCCUGCAGAUAGUUCUCCCGCUCAAGCGACUGAACUCGGUGCAUCUCCCAUGCUUGGCGCCUGUUCUCCGACACACGGAGUGCAGUAUCCCUCUCACGGGUGAGCUGCACCAAGCGCUCCUGUAAGGUCUCCCUCUCUCUAGCUAACUGGCUCAUCUGAUCCUGCUUAUGAUCUCUCUCCCUAAUGGCCUUCACCCACUGCUGCCUACGGUACUCCGCAAUGCCUUCCCAGUCAUUGCGGUCCUUCUGAGCUUGCUCCAGGAGUCUAGCUUGCUUGCGAAACUUGCGAGCACGCUUCUCAGCCUUCCGCUGCAUCUCCUAGGCCCUGCGAACAGCCACCAUCACCUAUGCAUAGGUGCCCUCUCGCUGACUAAUCAGCUUGAGCACAGCCAUCAUAGCACUCAUAGCAGGACUAGAACUCUCAGCUCUCUCUCCCCUGCCUCGAACGAAAGCACAACUGUCAGCCUGUUUCCACUCCGCUGCUGCUGGGUCAGCACUGGGAAUGGAGGCCGCUGGUCCUCCCGUCAGCUCAUCACCACACCUCUGACAGAUAUCGAGCAGGAUAGUCUGGGCUGCAACCUGAGCUGCCUCCCAAGGAGUCUGCCCAUCUGAGCUACAAGUCCAGCCUGUCCAUGCCGGCUUGUCCCCAUGUGGAGGGACAACUCCCUGCACAGCAAACUACUGAAUCCCUCCUGUGCUCUCCAUCUCCCACCAAGAAUACUGAGGUGGCUCAGUAUACCCAACAGUCCGUAACACCCUCUAGAGUAGGGUAGGAGUACCAAACUCGUGCAAGAAAGUGUCACUGGGACGGGGUGAAGCGGGUGCGUCCAUCUGUGGAAAGGAAUAGGAAUACCAUAGGUAAAAGAGGAUUAGUUUAAGCAACAUUUGUUUAAUUAAAAGGGGCGACAUUGUAAGGGAAGAAGUAGACAGAAUGUAUGUAUGAAUGCGACAUGAUGCAUGCACGAACCAUACGUCCUCACAAACUUAGAAAAUUAAUAUUCUAACGGAUAUACGGUGGCAUACAUUCGUCUCUCGAUACGAUAACUAUCGGUUUACACGUGCGCUGUUAGAGUACCUACAGAAAACUUCAUUUCAGCCCAACAGCUCCCAAUGAAUCACUCAAGAAAGCAGUAAACUAAGUGCACAUUGCUUGGACAUGCCCAACAAGCACAAACAAUGACACCACAACUACCCGAGAAAUUAAAUGCUCUCCAAUUAAGUUUCUUUCGUGGUUCCAUGGUUUCGACAUGUAACCACUCCAGAAAACCACCGCGAACACUCCCCUAGACCGCCGUUUGGACGAUCAUGCUCUCACAGCUCACACUUACCAGGGCGUAGGUGCGACGUUGCAUAAUUUAAAUCUAGCGACAUAUGUGGCUAAUUCACAUAUGAAGGCUACCUCUACCAUUAGACCACAGGGUAGCAUAGUGCAGUCAUCACACAUCCAUACCUGAGUACUGCCGGAGAUGCAUAAAUAAAACCCCCCAAGUCAGUACUUAAAUAGCCACCUAUAGUCCUUAUGUGGGCAAGGAGGAUUCGACCACUGGCAUAACUUAAUUAUUUAUUUUACACCAUUUUAUUUAAAAAUUCUUUUGUUUUAAAUACACAAACGCUGCAUUUAUAAUGCUGAACUUGCUCUGAUGCCAGCUGUCACAGAACCGACCAAAUUAUAAGAGUUCAAGUGCAGAAACGAUCGCCAAGCAAUCAAGUUUCCAAACCUGAGCCCAUAUAAUCCCGGUAGUCAAUUGAAAUCACGAAGGACUUCAAACCAACUCGCAACAAACCAAUAUCGUAAUAGUUCAACAUAAACACAGCGAAUGUUACAGCUAUUCAUUGCCGUCGAAGUGGCACCACAUCGGAGUCAUUAAGUUAUUACAACCCAAGUUCGAAGUAGCAGAAGCAAAAUAGUUACACACACUUGAUCAAAGUUCAGUUCACAAGUUCUUGUUACUGCCAGAGUCUACACCAUCCUUUCAAAAGCAUCAGAGACGAGAUUGUUAGAGAACCGUGCCCAACGGUUAGUCCUCAUCCCCAGCGGGAUGGUGACAGGUCUUGCAGAAGCCGUCAUAAAAGAUGUCAUCUGCAACAGGUGGGAAUAAACCCUGAGUACGGGAAUGUACUCAGCUAGACUUACCCGUCUAGUAGAACAUAAAAGACACCAAGGAUCAUGCAAGGCUACAUAUCAAGUGGAGCUGGUUGACUCACCUUUUGCCAAAAGCUUAACUCACAACUAAGUUAUUUUGAGAGCAUCAUAUUUAAUUAUCAUCAACCUACCACUAGAUUAUCACCUAUACUACCACACAUCACUAGAUUAUUACAACAAUAAUAACCAUAUCAAAUUCAUCAUAUGUUCUUCUUGCUAUCAUCAUUGUCAUGAACCAAGUUCAUUAGUGAAUGCUACGUUUGCCGCUGCUCUGUCAAGUUCUCACUAACCGGGAGAGAUGGCGAUUCGAAUCAAAUUCCUAUCCAGCUGGAGGGUUAUUCCUAGCACUCACCCAAGCAUCCCCUGCCGGAUAGCCAACGGGUCACCUUUGGUACAACUCAGGAAUCGCGGCUCCGAUCAGCGCCGCACUCCCAGGGCUACCACUCUGCCAGGGAGGUCAGGAAUUUUAACUCACCUGCCUUUGGGCUUACGCCAAUGGUCCCCCGCACACCGCACUUCCUCCGGUAGUGCGCACUUUAUACUUGCCGGUCUUCCGGCCUGAGUCAUACUACUCGGCUUCGCGGUCGGAACGAGUUAUCCGGCCAACUAAGUGUUAGGCAUGCGUUCAACAUGACAAGAGGACGUACAACGAUCGGUCCUUAGCUGCCACAGACGGAGUUACUACAAACUUGCAAAACUCCGCCCGGCUUAAGUCAAUUUAAUCAGGUUCCAUCCACGAUAGCACAUAUAGACCAUCGUGAUCAGACAUAGCCCUAUAUCGCGCAGGUGACAGGAUAUCACCCGACUUCUACCGAUUAAAGCAUGGCUAAGCUGCUACUCGAUCCUAUCUCUACAACCAGGGUAUGGUGAAUUAUCUGGACAAGGAUAGAGUAAAAUGCAGCAAGGGUUUCAUCACAACUCCUAUACGUAAUGCAUCAAUAGAUAUAACAUAUUAAUUAAACUUUUGAAAGUAAAGGGAGACUUAGAAUGCUCCGGGGCUUGCCUUUCACGAACGACGCCGGCUCGUGAUUCGGGCACUCAACUUCUUCUUCUGGCUCCUCAAGUCCGGCUUGCUGGACCUCCACCUCUUGGCUGCCCUCCUGACCUUCGGGAUUCGCCUGCAGCUCGUAGGAGGCUGUCGCGUCCGAUGCACCUAUUGCAUGCUCGAAGAAUAAGAAGAUGCACAUGCUAAAGAUGAAUGCUUAAUAACACAAGCAACUCACUGGACCCUCAUUUACGGAGCAAAAGUUAUACAAGCUCACACAAGUAAACAAGAUAGCUUAGCCCCAAAACCUACCAUGAUACUAAAUCAGCAAGCAACACGAAACAGGAGUAACCUGGUAAAUAAAUCAUAACUAAUGAUAGACAGAUCCAACAAACACAAAUAAAGAAAUUCUGGAAAGCUUAUGAAAUUGUCUACAAAUCAUCUUUAAACAUCACAGCAUGAUUCAUAUAUUAAACCAGUCAUUUAAACAAGGUUCCAGGUUCUGUCCCAGAAAAACAGAGAGCACCUAUUUCUGGAACCCAACUUGGAACAGCCAUAACUCUUAAACUAUUGGAGCCAAAUGACAAGCAUAACAUACAUAUCAAAUCUGCAUUACUCCAAAAAUCAUGAAAUAUUUACCACAGCACUCUAAUAUCAUACAGAGACUACCAUAAAAUUUUCAGAGUAAACUAAGCAGUAUAACCAGAGAUAUGAAUUUAUCCAUGAAUAACAAGAUUAAAUACUUAAUAAAUAUUUUCCCAGAAAACAUGGUUCAUUUUAUAUUUUUAUUUAAAACUAGCCAUCUCAAGGAAUACCACAAAAUUGGUUUCACAAUUUUUGGAUCUCAGAAACAGGAGAUAUGAUUUUUGCAAGAAAGCCAAAAAUCAGGAUUUUGAAUAAAAGAAAAGGAGGGAAAGAGGUGACACUGACAGUGGACCCCAUCUGUCGGGUCCUUCUUCCUCGCGGCCGAGGCGACUUUCGCCGGCGAUUUCUCCGCAACGGCGAGGUCUCCGGCCAAACCAAGGGCACCAACGUGAUCCCCAAACCCUAGCGACUCGAUUGACCCCCUUUUCCCCACGGCGGAGCCACCGGAAGGGGCUCACCGUCGACGAUGGCGGCUCGGCGGAGGUGCUCGGCAUUACGCCGGAGCCCUCAGGCCGGUAGAGCGCAACCUAAGGCUUUCUACAGCACCAGCGGACUACGGCGAAGCUUCCUAGGUACGCGGCUUGGCUUGGAUUCUCGUGGAACACGCUGGCCACGAGAGCACCCAUCUCCGGCGGAAGCACGGCGGCGCUGCGCACCGUGUCCGGCGACGGAGAGCUUGGUAGAGCGUCCACCAAGUGGCGCAAAAGCUUGCUAAGAACCUAAGCUACCUCUAGGACCUAACCAGAGACGACGAGAGGCUUCACAGGGCUCGGCAUUGAGUUCGCCGGAGAAAACGGUCACGGCGACCCGAUUUGGGGGAAGAAGGAAAUGUCGGCUCACCGGUGGGUUUCUCGGCGAGUUAGAGGGUGGAGAUUGGAGAGCGGUUCACGGCAGAGCUUUGGGUGAAGUUUGGUGGGCAAUGGCGCAGCAGGGAACGCGUGCGAGCUCGCCGGAGUAAGCUCGCUGAGGAGAGCUCUCGGCGGCUGCGUUUCUGGCGAGCAGGGCGAGGGAGAGCGAAGUGGACGCGUCCACUCUGCGCGGGCGACGCCGUGGAGGUCAUGCACGUGAUGGAAGCUGACAGGCGGGGCCAGGAACGGCGUACGGGCGCCAAAUGUCGACGGAGCUCUGCCGCCGGUUGGCCACGUCGACGAGCUCGACUUCGAUUCAGAAGAAACGUUGACAGUCUGACAGAGCAACUUCACCGAUGAUUAUCUCCCAAACCAGACCGAUUUAGAAGAUGAUGCAGUUGACAAAGUUGGAGUUCCAAUCGAGUUCUACAACUUUGUCAACUAGAGCAAAGGCCAGAUUGGCGGGAUUGAGAGAUAUAGAGUUUUCAAAAUCGAUCGAGCAAAGUGGUUUCGUUCCAAGACUUAGAAAAUUUUCUAAGUGUUGGAAACAGCCCCAAAUCUGCCUUGUGGUUCACUUUUGAGCUAUUUGUGAUCAUUUUCAUGAGAUGGCCAUAAAACAACUUUUGUUCCUUAUAAAAUUUGCUACAACUUUGCUGUAGGAAGUUUUGACAUGCAAAUAUUUUAUGAAACACUUUUUAAAAGCCUAAGCAAAAGAGGUUUCUAGGGCCUAUUUGCACAAACAUGACUUCAAGGCAUAUUUUGGAGGAGUGAUCAACAUGAACAUUGUUCCCAAGGUUAAGUUAAGCAUAGAUAAACUAAUUACCAAAGCAUUGAGCACAAACACAAGCAUGGUUCACUCAAACAUAAGCAUAGGAAGCCUAUUUAAGCAAUUUAAAACACAUUUUUGCAUAGAAUGACAUGGCUCAAGAGAGAUGAUGAUCAUGAUAUGCUUUGAGUAGAUGAUGAUGCUCAUGCUAUGCACAUGAUUGAUGCAACCAUAACACUGGGGUGUUACAUUGCGCAACAAGGACGCCAAUGGAAGAAUUGUAAAAUGGGCCACGGAGUUGUGCCCUUUCUCGAUGGAUUUCUAGAGUCGCACAACCGUCAAAUCAUAGGCUCUAGCAGAUUUCAUCGUAGAAUGGACCGACCUCAACGCACCCCUAGCAUAGGAUACAACUGAUCAUUGGCAAAUGUUUUUCGAUGGGUCGUUAAAUAUCGAUGGCGCUGGAGCAGGAAUUUUCUUCGUAUCACCUAACACACAAACUUUGUUAUGUCCUUAGGUUCCAUUUCCCUGCGUCCAACAAUGUGGCAAGAAAAUGGAUUUGUAUUGCAAGGAGAUCCGCAAAUUGGAAGCAAAUUUUUAUGGAAUCGAGUACAUACACGUGGUUCGGGAUAAAAAUUAAGCAGUAGAUGCACUGUCAAAGAUCGGAUCAUCCCAGGCUCAGAUCCCACAAGGCGUUUUCAUUCAAGAUCUUGUCAAGCCAAACGUCGGGGGUGACCUGGUUGAGAAGGGAAAAAGCAAGGCACUAUUCGUCCAUACCAUCCAGAACACCCUGCCGACAACCAGCAGCGCUGAUUGGCGUACGCCCUUCAUUAGAUACCUUAAAGACGGUAUUGGUCUCCAAGAUAAGACAGAGAACAAACGCCUUAUCCGGUGAUCUAGAAAUUACUUACUGACCGACGGUCGACUCAUGCGCAAGAACGCCAACACGGAAAUCUUGCUGAAGUGCUUUACCCAGGACAAUGGUGUCAAACUCUUAGAAGACAUACAUGCUGGAUCCUGCACCACCCGACUUCUUGGACGCUGGUCGGAAAGGCUUUCCGAGAAGGUUUUUAUUGGCCAUCCACGGUGGCUAACACCGAGAAGCUAGUUCGACACUGCAAAGGCUGCCAAUUCUUCACCAAAAGGACCCACGUCCCGGCUCACAAAAUCUAGACAAUACCAGCGUCUUGGCCGUUCGCUUGUUGGGGCCUAGACAUGAUCGGGCAGUUCAAGCCUGCUCCCGGUAACUUCAAGUUUGUGUUCGUGCUGGUCGACAAGUUCUCUAUGUGGAUCAAGUACAUGCCAUUGGUAAAGGCAACUUCAGAAAAAAGCUGUCGAAUUCCUCAAUCAGAUCAUACAUCAUUUCAGGAUCCCUAACAGUAUAAUCACGGAUUUGAGGACUCAGUUCACCGGCACUGUAUUCUGAGACUUCUACGAUGACAGAGGCAUAGCUGUAAAGUAUGUGUCGGUAGCCUAUCCCAGAGCCAACGGAUAGGUCGAGCGAGCUAAUGGUAUGAUUUUGGACGCCGUAAAAAAGAGAUUGUACAAAGAAAACGACAAAGCAGCGGGAAGAUGGAUGAAAGAACUGCCAGCCAUGGUCUGGGGUCUCUGAACGCAACCUAGUCGGAACACGGGCGUAUCCCCUUACUUCAUGAUAUAAAGUUCAGAUCUCCAAGGGUCGAGCGUUUCGAUCAAUUUUCAGCAGACAAGACCAGAGAAGUUGAAAUCAAUUGCAUAGAGGAAAAACGGCUAGAUUCCUACAUCUGAACAGCCAAGUACCUUGAUGUCUUAUGACGAUACUAUAAUAGGAACAUCAAGGAGCGCUCUUUUGUGGUCGGUGAUUUGGUACUGAAGUGGAAGACAAGCCAGGAAGGGAUGCACAAACUAUCCACGUCUUGGGAAGGACCCUUCAUGGUCGUGGAAGUUACAUGUCGCACUUCCUACAGACUGGCCUAUCCGGAUGGAACAAGCCUGCCUAACUCUGGGCACAUAGACAAACUAUGACAUUUUUAUCCUUAGACCAGUGCAUCUCACAUUUAUUCUUUCCUUAUGAUUAAUAACAAGUGUUGGUAUUUUGUUCCAUAUUUCUUAUAUGCAAAACAUCCGACAAGUAUGAUCUUUUCUAUUCUCGACACCAAAGUUUAAGUAAGAAAAUCAAGUAGGGCAGCCGACAACUCUCACUCAGUGAUACAUCACUCUAACAAGUCAUUCACAAUGCUCAACCAUGGUUUACAAAUCAUUCACAUCUUCCUUUCACUCUAACAAUUCAUUCACAUCUUCCUUUCACUCUCCAAUAUGCGGGAGCGUUCUUGGUUGAGCUGGUCUUUCUCCUUUCGAACGUGCUCCAACUCUUCCUCUAGACCUACAGUGGCAACAGUUAUCUCAGUCAAAAGGAACAAGAAGAAGCACACAAUGGCUGGCGUCAAUCACUAAUCUUACUUCUCUUUUCUCUGUCCUUGUCGGCUAGUCGCCGAGACAAAUCGACCAUCUGCUCUUCUCGAGUAGCUCUAUCCAUAGCGACCUUCUCGGCCUCCAGCCAAAGUCGGUCCACCUCACCGGUCAGAGCCUUGUUCUCGGCCACGAUUCCUUCAAUCUGGACGAAACAUCUUUUACGAUAUUUCACCAUCUUCAUUACAUCAUGUGGAUUUUCAACACACAUACACAUAUGACAAGGUUAUGACGACACCUUUUAUUUUCAAGUUAGGAAGGCACUUACCUUAACUUCACUAACAAGAUGCUUGGCGGCUUGUUCUACUCUCUCCGCCUCCUCGACCUCCGUGAUCUUCUCGUGGCCGGCCUAGUGAUCCCCACGCUAACGCCAGACAUAAAUAUGUUGGCACCCGUCGUGAGGAUGCCCCUAGAUCUCCUCCACCUCCUCCUCAGAGCCAUCCUAGGCCUCCUCGCCUUGUGUGCUCCUUCCCACCAUGGCUAAAGAAGUCAUCAGCCCCCUCCCCCGGUUAGGAGCAUCGGGCGGUGUCAUCGGCUCGCCGGAUGGCUCCUCCACAUGAGCAGGGGAGGCAGCUUUGACCCCCACUUCUGCCACACUGCUCGGUGGGGGAUGACUGCAGGGACCUCCUCCCUGGUUGGGAGGUCACAAGUUGUGCAGGGGCCUGCUCCAUGGUGGCCUAUUCCAACGGCCUCGAGCCCUCAACAGCGCUGGGGUCAACAUACGAGGACGCACUACAAGUUCAUUCAACUAAUCAUAAAUGUUUGAGUUCUAACAUUAUGGAAGAAACAGCUAUCUUUUUUCUACUUAUAGGUUGCAGCUCCUGUGCGACGUCGAAAAGACCUUGCGCCUGGCACGACCAGCCACCGCCAUUGGUUGCGCCUAGUCUGCACGCACCUGCUUGUCGGUGGCCUGUGCAACGGGUGGAUCUUCAGUGGGUUGUGAGUUGGGCACUGGGACCACCUCAGGGUGCCUACGUGAUCUGCGGACCAAGUCUGGGGCCGCCUCCUCUUCCUCCUCCUUGUCAUCAAGGACUCAAAGCAGCCACCGACGCUUCGGUGCUCGGCCACCCGAAGCUGAGCCUUUGCUGGACGAGGGCCCUUGGGCUGACCCUGUCGAUGCUCCUCCUACUCAGGACGGCCCUCCAGUCGCUGGUCUCUUGCCAGUGACUCUGUCAUUGGUGGUCAGUACUGUUUGGCCAUCAUCUUCAUCGCUGCUGGUGUAUCGAUAGCACUGAGCAGCGUUCUCCAUGGGUGGGUCUACCCUCGUCGGGUGCUCCAUGCCGGGCGCCAGUGACACGUACACUGAUGCUCGGUCAAUGUCUCCGAUCUGUGACACGGUGAUUGGUUACCGAUAUGAAUCGCUACGAGGGUGGCCCGAUCUUCAUGACAGUAGAUCAAAAGAACAAGAAUAACUUGCUACGAACAACGGGUAACUAGCUUUAUACCUGACAAAUGUUGGAUACGACCAAGCGACGGGGAGAGAGGCACCGAAACCACGAAGACUUCGACUCUAUCUCCAAACGACGGUAGAACCUACAGUCCGGAACUAAUCCACACAAUACGGCAUAGCCGAACAGAAGUCGUAGAGCACGAAGUAGGGGAAACCAGAGGAUUCACUUCACAAGUCCAUGAAGAACAAGAAAGAACAAAGGUUGAGUAAGGCACUCAGCAGCGCGGCUGCAAUAUCAUGUAGUUUAUCAAAUAAUCAAAGGUUGCUAAUAGUUUAGAGGUAGAGAAUAUUUAUACUAGGAACAACCCUCCUAGAUAGGUAUAAAAACGAAAUAGAGUUUCUGAGAGAAUACAAUGUGAAAGGUCCCCUCGGAAUGGAUUCCCGAACUGGCUUCAUGUGACUGUUGGCCUCCAGAGCAAUUUCCAAUAAACUGACCAUAACUUUUUAUUGAGAAGUCCAAAUGACAAACCGUUUCUUGGGUGCGAAACUAGACUCCAAGGGCCUUCUAGCAAUGUAUGCCAUCCAGCAUGAAACAAUGUAGAUUGGUACAGGUUUACUUGAAAAGUUGUACCAACAUUCUGUCACGAUAGACUGUUGACCUUCUGAGAAGUCUGUACUAAUUCUGGUUUGUAGGCAAUAUGGAGUAUCUAAACUGGUCGCCACUAGAUUCAUUAGAAAGUAGACUCGACAAGCUUUCCAACAAGUCCUCAUGGGCCUUCAUAGAUUUUGUGAGUAAAAAGGUAUGAAGAUUUCUUUGCAUUGGUUUGUUCUUGACUUCCACUGGUCCGUUUUUGACUCUCUGGUCCAUUUUGUAGUGUCUUCUGGGACUUGCACUGGUCCGUUCUUCAGGGUCUGAUUCAUCCUUCUUUUCUUCUAUAUACCUGAGUACAAUCAAGGUAGAACACUUAGGUAAUAUAUAAUUCUCAUUAAUGUUAAAAUGAAUCUCACAAAGUAGCGUGUGGACCUCUUGUUGUAGCUUCUUUCCAUGACUACGUGUAAUCGGUCCAUCGAUAACUUGGGCUAGUGUCGGUGUAGGUAAAACUUGAGUGGUUGUAGCUUGACUUGGAGCUUUGUGAUAUCUUGCUUGCUGGCAUGGUUAUAUCAGACUGUGGUAACAGUUAUCAGAGGUUAAGGACGACAACGAAUAAAAUUGCAAGAUUGUGCAAACUUAUUCCUUACCUUCGAAGCUGGUUGAGCCAACUUGUACGCGUGCAUCUGGUUGUCGCUGCGCACAAAGUUGCUGUCUGCGAGAUUGAAGAGCUCGCUGAUUCUACAGUGAAUCUCCGUCUUAUCCAGCUUAUCCUUGUGCAUCCUGGUCGUGGCCUGGCUUCCCUGGUACACAUAUCCCGGGUGGACCCUCCUCUGGCAUGGCUGCACUUGCCGGCUAAGAAAAUUGCCGACUACGCCAGGUCCAUCCAGACGCGACCACUCGAUCAGGUUCAUCAGUUCCUCGAUCUGCCCGGUGUACUCUAGUCGGUCCAUCCAGCUGACUCUCUUCUCUAGUACACAGCUAACAUUGCAGAAAGUCGCGAUGUUCGGCUCUUCCUGGAUGUAAAACCAUUUCUUGUACCAUUUAGAUAGGGAAGUGUUCCAAGGGCAGUUGAGAUAGUGAUUCUUCAUUCCAUCAUGAAGAUUGAGGUAUAGUCCACCAAUAAUCUUGGAGCCUCCAACUGCUCCCUUCUUUCUCAUGCAAAACAAAUAAUGAAAUAAGUCGAAAUGCGGCUCGAUCCCCGCAAAAGCUUCACAAAGAUGGAUAAAAGUGGCAACCAAGAGAAUCGAGUUUGGGUGCAGAUUGCAAAUCCCAAUCUCAUAGUAGAGAAGCAAGCCCUAAAGAAACAGAUGAACCGGAACCCCAAAACCCCUCUUAAAGAAGCCUUCGAAAACAACAAUCUUACCAGCUCUUGGGUCCGGGAUGCUUUCUCUUGAUGGUGCCCUCCAGCCACCGAGUUCUUGGUUGUGCAGCAGCCCCAUCUCGAUGAGCUCGUUGAUGGAUUUCGUGGUGGACCUAGAUUUCUUCCAAUCCUUUGACAUCAUCUCAGUCCUCUUUUUUUAAUCACUCUUGGCCAUUUCGCCCCGGUCAACGAGAACUAAAUCUAACUGGUUGGUAGGAGGCAAGGAAGAUGAAGGUGAAAGGCUAGAGUAUGCAACUGUUGGGUGAAGAUCCAGUAUUAUGCUACUUAGGCUAUUUAUCAAAGGGCAACCAUCUCUUCCACUUCCCAAAUUCUAUGGAAGUGUGCGGUUUCUGCGGCAAAAAUGCCGUUUUAGUUCCCAAUUUUUGUUGUAGUAAAUCCGCCGCAUUUUUUAAAUAGUUGUUGGAACUACUUUUGUUUCGGUUCGAAUGAUGGGCGACUGUGUUGUCAGUGGCACUCCUUUUCACACUAUGGACUGACGUUUUGACAGCUUUGACAAGAUGGGCGGACGCUCUAUCACGUCGUGAAUUAAUUAGCAGAAGGAUAUGAAGACUCAAAACUCAAGUGAAGCAUUUACUAAGAUUGCGAUCUCGUUUGGACUCAUGCGGUGUCUAGGGAUUGUACCGACCACCGAGCACGUUCGUGAUGGCAAACUAUGCUCGGGAACUGGUCGACCCGAUGAAAUAGGGGAUUGUACCGACCACCGAGCACGUUCGUGAUUGCAAACUAUGCUUGGGGACUAGACGACCAGAUGAAAUAGGGGACUGUACCGACCCCCGAGCACGUUCGUGACGGCAAACUACGCACAGGGACUGGUCGACUAGAUGAAAUGGGGACUGUACCGACCACCGAGCACGUUUGCGAUUGCAAACUAUACUCGGGGACUGGUCGACCAAUCUGUUUGAUGACACUGGGGACUACAUCGACCAGCGAGUGUGUUCGUGGUUAUCAAUUAUGCUUAGGUAACUGGUCGAGUAGUCUAUAUGCCACGAUUCAAGAUUAUGCAGAUCACCGAACACGUUCAUGGUUUCUACCAAUGCUCAGGGCCUACUCUUUUCAGUUACAUAUGAAUCGGGCUUAUAUACAACUGAGCAGUAAUUUUAAUUUUUUAGACCUUGCUACAAGGCUCAUGCUUCGCCUUCCAGCAAGCUCGGGGAAUACAUCGGUACGAUGCAUCUGGCAAUGCAUCUUAGCAUCAACAUUUUUUACAUGGAUUUUUCUUUAGACCCUGGCACCACGUGCCUACGUCACCUACUACCAGGCUCGGGGACUAAGUGGGCACACUUCACCUUGCGGUGAAUAUGCUUGUCUAUUGAAGAGCUAUACUUUUCAGAAAAGUAAAGUAGGCACACUUCACCAAGAAAGAAAUAUUUUUUGAUUAAGAGCACCAUGCAUACUUUAAACAACCUGCUUCUUCAAUGUCGAUGUUGAUCAAUUGUCUUUUGAGUUGGUUAAAAUACCGUUACAACUGUUCGGGCGAUGUUAAGCUUUACUGGUCAAAGAAGUUCAAGACGGUGUGUUACAUCACAAUACAUGGUGCUCAGGGACUAGCUGUGGGCUUAUAAACCUCUAUACCCUUACGGCUAGACUUGGGCCAGGAGAUUUGGCCCAUUACAAGACAGUUCGAGGCCUGAUCCAACUGCUUGGAGUUUCACGCAAGGAAACAAGACGUGGAGAUCAAGCAGGAUUCUAGUCGGUUAGAAUAGGAAUUGAUAUCGUGUUAUCUAUGGCAAUUGUAACCGACUAGGAUUAGUUUCUAGAUUUGUAACCCUGCCCUCUGGACUAUAUAAAGAGAGGCAAGGCACCCCCCUUAGGACAACACAAUUCAACACAUCUCGUAUCAAUACAAUCAGACGUAGGACGUAGGUAUUACGCCCUCACGGCGGCCGAACCUAGAUAAAAUCCUUGUCUGUGUCUUGCAUCACCAUCGAGUUUGUAGCUUGUGCACCUAUCUACCGAUAAACUACUACCGUGGGUAUACCCCAAGGUAGACUACCGACUAGCUUUCAUCGACAUGCCGCCAUUAGCGGGGGCAUGGUCCUUAGGGUUCGGUAGAGUUAGGGUUUCUGGUGUCAAUCGACGCGGGAGAGAGCGAGGAACACGAUGGUGCCCUCAGCUGCCGUGGAGACCUUGUCGUCGUCGAGGUUUUCCGAGGGUCAAGCAUGGCCUCUGUCCUCGGGGUCGCUAACGAGUGGGUCCUGUUGACCUGUGGGGUCCCUCUGUUAGUCUCUCCCUCUCUCCUGUUCUUGUUUUGUUUUGUGCUGAACUCGAGUUUGGCAGAUCCAAAUGACGUGAUUCAAACUUUGUCAUGCUCCUGUGGUAGUCUAAUUUUUAUUAAAAAUAUAAUAUGUGCCAUGUUUUCUGUGAAAAAUAAUUGUUAUGAACUAAUCAUGAUUAAUCAAAGGAAAAUCAUAUCUUUCUGUGUAAUGCUCCGAAUGUGAUGAAAAUUUUAUGGCAUACUUUGCAUGGUAGUAUAAGCUCUGGUAAUUAUUUCAUGGUUUUUGGAUGCUGUAUGACCGGUAUGUAAUUUAUACUUGAUUAAUUUCUUAAAUCCUUGUAUAAAUUAUUAUAAAUAAUGCAUGCUUGUGUUGGUGCUCUCCUUUAGCUUGAUUUGUGUUGAUGGUAGUAGAAUCAUAAAGAUAAUCUAAAAUCUGUUGUUUGACACUGUUUGACAUAAGUUUUCUAAUUUAUGGUAAUAAGGACCUUGUCACAUGAUAAUAAGAUAUCUAAAGUUUGGUAAGUACAAUUGCUCUAAACAUUUUAUGGUGAUGUUUAUGUGCCAUGCUUGUGCUUCUGUAAUUUUUAUAGAUUUUUCUGAGUACUUAUGCUCAUAUCUCUUAAUUAUGCUCUUUUAUAGAAUUAAAGUAAUAAAUACUAUAUAAAUAAUGUUUUGGUAAGUAACAUAUAGUUUUCUGGUAAUCUUACAUCAUAUGUAUUCUGGUGAGUCACUUGGUUGACACUAAAUAUGCUUUUGCCAUGUUAGUAAAUAAUUAAUUUAAGGCAUUUAACCAUUCUGAACAGCAAAGGAUAAAUCUGGUAAUUGCUUAAUGUAAAUAUGUUUUCUGGAGGACUUGUCUAUACAAAAGUUGUUGUAAACUUUAUGCUCUAGCUGGGAUUAUUUUGGUGGCCUUUGGCCCAGUGGUUUAAAAGUUAUGCUUGCUCCAAGUUGGGUUCCAGCUUAGGGUUGCUCUCUGUUUGUCUGGGUCAAAACCUGGAACUUUGUUUAUUUGACCUAUUUCACUUAUGAAUCAUGCUUAAGUAUCUAAAGAUGAAAUGUAGAUAAUUUUGUAAGCUUUCAAGAAUAUCUUAAAUCAUGCUUGUUGGAUCUGUACAUCUCCAGAUAUGAUCUGUUCUCUAUGCUACCAUGUUGAGUAAGAAGUGCGGUUGGUUUGUCUAGUUAGUUUGCAUCUUUGUUAAGUCUUGUGGUGCUCUUGUGUAAGCUUGUUGAAGAGUUUACUCUGUAAAUGAGUGUCCAGUGAGGUGCUAUGGUAUAAAUCCAUGAUGCAUCCACCAUUUCCUUGUAUGCAUACAUCUUUUACUCACUGCACGUACAUGCAAUAGGUGCAUCGGAAGUCGGAGUCACAUACGAGAUCGAGAGGGUGAAUCCGGAAGAACACCCAGGAGCCGGAGGUCCAGCCAGCAGGACCAAAGGAGCCCAAAUAAGAAGUCGAGUGUCCGAGUCAUGAGCCCACGUCGUUCGUGAAAGGCAAACCCCGGAGCAUUAUAAGUCUCCUAUUUAUUUUACCAAGCAUGAGUGAAUAUGUUAAUACCUAUUGCUGCAUUAUGUGUAGGAGUUGUAUCAAACCCUUGCUACAUUAUACCUUGCAUUGUCUAGAUAUCUUACCUUACCCUGGUAUAGAGUCAGGAUCGAGUAAUAGCUUAGCCAUCCUUAAACCGGUAGAAGUCGGGUGAUGUCCUGUCACCUGUGAGCUUUAGGGUCUGAUGAUGGAUCACAGUUGGCUAUAUUUGCUAUCAUGGAAAAGAACCUGGCUAAAAUAACUUAAGCCGAGCGGAGUUUUGCAAGGUGGUAGGAACUCCAUCUGUGGCAGCUAAUGACCGAUCGUUGUAUGUCCUCUUUUCAUGUCAAACACAUGUCGGACACUUAGUUGGCCGGAUAACUCGUUCCGACCGCAAAGUCUAGUAGUAUGACUCAGGCCAGAAGACUGGCAAGUAUAAAGUGCGCACUAUUGGAGAAAGUGCGGUGUGCGGGGGGCCAUUGGCGUAAGACGAAGGCCAGGUGAUUUAAAAGUCCUGAUCGUCCUGGCUAAGUGGCAGCCCUCGGAGUGCGGCACUGAUCGGAGCUACGAUUCCUGAGUCGUACCAAAGGUGACUUAUUUGCUCUCCGAUGGAGGAAGCAUGGGUGAGUGCUAGGAAUAUGAUGAAAGUCCAUGCCUGAUCUUCCGAGAGGUAAUUGGUAAAUUCAAUUUGUGGGGAACUCGACGUUGGCGAUCCGGCUUCAAAUCAGCACGACUCGAACCCUGCGACCGUUACACCACUGCUCUGUUGGUUAUCAACCAAGCACAACAUGAGUAACCUCGCCAAGAAGGCUUUUCCUACAAGCGAAUCGAAGAACACAAGCAAUAAAGUAUAAACACGCAACCUAAAAUUGCAAACAUGAAUGAUGUGAAUAUUCAAAUGAGGGUUCCAAAGGACUAAUCGAAACAGUGGAGGAGAUCAAGAACGGGGGCCUAGAUCACAUAAAAGAAUUUGUCACCACAAUUAUAAUGAACGAUUCAGUUUCUCGAUGGAAAACUAAACUCUAAACAAAACCCGAUUCUAAACAGCAGCGGCUGUGUGGAAUAUAAAGUAGAAGCGACCUAAGGUUGGAGGCGACUAGGGGGAGGUGCCCACAACAUGGGCUUAAGGCCCGAAUUCGAUACAUGACCAAGUUGGCCCAAAAUAGGUGAUACAGCACCUUGUCAUGGACACAAAGAUUAAUCAAUGAAAGAUCUGGAGCUAGGACCAGAUCCAAAACGAUGGUGUCAUUGUCCCCUUUCCAAUGAGUCCAAGAUCACCCCGUUUCGAUGUCAUAAGAAGAAGUUAUGAUCAAAACUCUGACGACGUGUUUGCUGAAUCCGAGAGUGACGUGGUAGCUGAGUUGGAGAUGAAUUGUAACUUGGAAAAGAUGAUGUUGUCAACGUAUCCAGUGUGACGUGUCCUCAUCAUCCUCCCCUUCUUGAAUUGGAGUCGUCCUCGACUCCAUCUUUGUUGUGUCCUCAUCAUCCCCUCCUUCUACAAAUGGAGUCAUCCUCGACUCUUCCCCAUCAACAAACUCCUGCAAAAGGUUAGUCACAGCAGGCAAGGCACAAGACAUAAUAGGUUGACAAAGCAUAGUAUAACAUGGUACAUCUGGAUUAUCACAUAACGCAGCAGAGGUACAAGAUGUAGCAAGUAAAGCACCUCCAUGUAACUUAUUUUCAUUAUUUUUAUCAAUGUCUAUGGAAGGUUUAUUGUUAAUCUCUUUAGCAUGUUUAACAAUAUCCAUUGGUGACAAAGGCAGUAAAGUAAUGUUCUUGUUCUUAUGUAUGAAAGUGUAUGUAUUAGUUCUACCAUGGUGUAAAGCAUCAUUAUCAAAUUCCCAUGGACAUCCUAACAAAAUUGAACAAGCUUGCAUAAGCGCAACAUCAAAAUCAGUAGUAUCAUGAUAACAACUUGUGAUGGCAAAUGAUUUUAGCACUGGGUGAGAAGGAACUAGUGGAAGCACCCAGAGUGGCACCUUUCUUCAGCUGUGGAGGCUGCACAUUAGACAAUUUACUUACCUCAGAAGAAAAUGCAGGUGUAGAUGGUUGUGGUGCAAUAGAAAUCUUGAGCGUCUCUGGCUCGGAACGCUGCUGAAAAUUCCUCCCAUUAUUAGACCUGAAAGACUGGUGUUGCUUGCGUCCCUGUACUUCAUGUUCUGCCUUUAUACCAAGAUGAUACAAUUGAGAAAAAUUACACCAUUCUUUAUAAUCAAGAAUGUUCUAGAUAUCAUGAUUUAAACCACCAAAGAAUCUAGCACUAGCAUCAGCAUCAUCUUCAUGUACACCACAACGUGCUAAACCAAUAAGCAAUUCUUGAUAGUAUGCUUCUACACUUUUAUCUUCUUAUUAUAAAGUUUGCAGUUUAAGACAUAAAUCACAUUGAUAAUAAGAAGGAACAAAAUGAGAUUUCAUACAUUGUAUUAAAGCAUUCCAAGUUUGAGGCACAACAACAACAUUAUUAGUAUUGCGAAGAUCACUCCACCAAAAUAAAGCAAAUGGUAAACUCACUAGUAGCGGUCUAACUCUAUGCUCAGCAGGCACAUUAUGAGAAUCAAAAUUUUAUUGAACAGCAAGCUCCCAAUCUAAAUAUGCCUCAGAAUCAAUAUUACCAGCAAAAGGAGGUAGGCUAAAUUUAAUUUUAGCAAAAGGAUCAUUAUUACCAUAGUUAUUACCUCCCGUACCGCGACGAUUGAAGUUAUAACGGCGACGGUUGUGUGCAUCACAGUCAUCGUCCACAUCUUCAUGAUCAGAUAGAUCUCCAUCUACAUCUUCAUCAUCACCAUGAUGAGAUUGAGGGCGUUGCUUAAUCUGUUCAAUGCGAGUGACCAGAUUGUUUACAUUACGUGUCAGCUCGUUCAUAAGAUUGCGCUGUUUAGUAAUGAACGCUGCAAGUUCACCUUUGGACACACAAUCAUUGAAAUUCGUCGGAGAUCCUGCCAUGGUUAGAAAAUAGGGAAAAACAACAGCAAAGGAUUAUCCCUAUCAACUAAAAGGAACCAAGUUGUGGUGGUAGUGGUAAAAGUGGAAUACAAAAUCAAAAGCGGCUUACCACCGUCUUACAAGUGUUCUUACCAAAGCCUAACAGGAGCAAAACCAAAUUGGCAAAGUAAUCUGCUGUUGAGCGUGGAUAAACAGUUGCAAGAUGAACUUGUGCUGACAGAAGUAUAUGUGGAGCUUUGGACAGGCACAAUUUAAGUAGCAAGGAUUAGCAAUAUUCGAAUGCAGAGUUAGCUAAGUUCAAUAAGUAUCCAAAGGACAAAUCACAAUUGCUGGCUAAGACGUGUCUAGACAUAGUGCAACAAGGUGAAACAAAGUAUGAUGGAAGGAACUCAGCGAACAAGCAAUAGAGCAGAUUUUUCCUUUAUCAUGAUUUUUCCUAGAUUUUCCCAAAAGGUACUAGUAGGAAUCAAGAUUUUUUACUUUUUCACUAUUUUUUUAUAUUUUUCUCUGAACAAGGAUCACAAAAGAUAUAACUACAAAAAUUGGCAACUACAACUGAGGUCAGAUGUGGUCUACAGAAAUUUAGCAAGUCCUCUGAAAAGCAUGCAAAACCCUUGUCAAUUUUUUUCUUUAUUUUCCUGAAUUUUUUGGCAAUUUUGAUGAGACCGAACAGGGCUUCGCUGAGUUUGCGUCGGGUCCAAAUGGUGUCAAGAAACUGCUGUAAAAAUUUUAGAUUUUUCUGAUAAACGAGCGAAAAGUUAUGCCUGCUUUACCGAAUGUAUCUCAAGUUAUGUUUUUUCGAAGGCACAACACGGCAGCGGCGGUGGCAGUUAGGGCAAAGCAUCCCUAAACUCCAACACCAAUCAUAGGAUGAAUUGUCCCUAUGACUAACAGCAAUAGGUAUUCGCCUGAUGAUGUAAGGAGGGCUGCGAUGCAGGCAAAAUAACAGCGGCUAGCAACCUAUCUCGGGUUAGCGCGGCGGCGAGAGAUCACACAAGGCGGCUAGCGGAGGCAAGUCAAGUAAUGUGGUGGCUUUGACUUGUUGUUUGGAAACAGUGGAUGGGAUAGCGGCAGAAACUAAGAACAGCAACGGUGCAAAUGAACUACGAUGACAAGCAUAAUCAAAACAAGCAACUAGACUCAACCACGAACACAAACUCAACAAAGCAAAUCUAAAAACAAAUUAGAAGGCACAAUGGGUGAUAGGACAGCGGAAAAUUAAACUAUUUUUUGGGCUUUUUGUGGACUGUAGGGAAUGAACAAAUAUGAAUCUAGGGCAAACGAGAUUAUACCUCAUGGUAAACCUGAGAUAUCUGAUACCAAUUGAUGAAAGUUCAGGCCUGAUCUUCCGAGAGGUAAUUGGUAAAUUCGAUUUGUUGAGAACUCAACAUUCGCGAUCCGGCUUCAAAUCAGCACGAUUCGAACCCUGCAACCGAUACACCACUGCAAGCGAAUCGAAGAACACAAGCAAGAAAGUAUAAACAUGCAAUCUGAAAUUGCAGAUAUGAAUGACAUGAAUGUUCAAAGGAGGGUUCAAGAACUCGGAUCCAAAGGACUAAUCGACACAGUGGAGGAGAUCAAGAAUGGGGCCCUGGAUCACUGUAAAAAGAUUUGUCACCCCAAUUACAAUGACCGAUUCCAUUUCUCGAUGGAAAACUAAACUCUAAACAAAACCUGAGUCUCAACAGCGGCGGCUGCGUGGAAUAUAAAGGAGAAGCGACCUAGGGUUGGAGGCGACCAGGGGGAGGCGCCCACAACAUGGACUUAAGGCCCGAAUUCGAUACAUGUCCAAGUUGGCCCAAAAUAGGUGACGCAACAUCUUGUCGUGAACAUAAAGAUUAAUCCACGAAAGAUCUGGAGCUGAGACCAGAUUCAAAACAACGGCGUUGUUGUCCCCUUUCCAACGAGUCCAAUAUCACCCUGUUUCAAUGUCGUAUCAAGAAGUUAUGAUCAAAACACUGAUGAUGUGUUUGCUGAAUCCGAGAGUGACAUGGUAGUUCAGUUUGAGAUGAAUUGCAACUUAGAAAAGACGAUGUUGUCAACGUAUCCAGCGUGACGAUGUCCUCAUCAGAAUAACCCUUCAACUAGAUAGGAAUUGAUUCGAAUCGCCAUCUCUCCCGGAUAGUGAGAACUUGACACAGCAGCGGCAAACAUAGCGUCCAUUAAAUACUUAAUGGUUCUAAGAUGAUUAUGAUGAUGGCAAUAAUGAACAAUUGACAAAACCGGAUAUGGUUAUUAUUGUUUGAUGUUAAUCAAGUGAGUGCCUUAGUACAGGUGCUAAUCUAGUGGUAGGUUAAUGAUAAUUAACUUGAGGCUAAUAAGAAAGGUUUAGUUAUCCAACUUAAGCUUUUGAUGCAAAAUGUGUCAAGCCAGCUUCACUAUUUACAGUAGCCUUCUAUGAUCCUUCAUGUCUUUGUUGUGGUUCAAUGGAUAAGUCUAGCUGAGUACAACCUUGUACUCAGGGUUUAUUCUCACUUAUUGCAGAUGAUAUCUUCUAUGAUGGUUUCUGCAAGAGCUGUCUUCACCCUGCUGAGGAUGAUGACUAACCAUUGGGUGUGGUUCUCUAAGUCUUCAUACCUUACUUUCUUUUGGUGGAUAUGAUGAGACCCUGGUUGUAACAAUAAACUUGUGAUGUUGGUGUGAAAACUAUGUAGCUUCCGCUACUUGAACUUGGUUUGUGAUAACUUAAGUAAACUCCGAUGUGUGUCGCUUCAUCGACCUUAUAUGAAAUGUUGUAACAAUCGAUGUAUUGUGUAGAACUUAUUACGAUCUUGACAUGUUGUUCAAUUGGUUUGAAAACCUUUGAGAUUUCGUUUGACUACCAGGAUUAUAUGGGCUCAAGUUUGGAAACUUGAUUGCUCCGGCAAUCGUUUCUACACUUGAACUCUUAUAAUUUGGUCGGUUCUGUGACGGCUGACAUCAGAGUAAAUUCAGCACUAAAUACUUUGUUUGUGUAUUUAAAAUAAAAGAAUUUCAAAAAUAAAUUGUGGAAUAAAGUGUGCCAGAGGUCGAUUCCUCCUUGCCCAUAUAAGGACUUUAGGUGGCUAUUUAAGACUGACAUGGGGGGUUUUAUUUAUGCAUCUACAAUAGUGCUCAGGUAUGGAUGUGUGAUGACCGCACUAUGCUACCUUGUGGUCAAAUGGUAGAGGUAGCCUUCAUAUAUAAAUUAGCCAUAUAUGUCGCUAGAUUUAAAUUAUGCAACGUCGCACCUACGCUCGGGUAAGUGUGAGUUGUGAGAGCAUGAACGUCCAAAUGGUGGUCUACGAGAGUGUUCACGGUGGUUUCUAGAGUGGUUGCAUGUUUUAACCAUGGAACUAUGAAAGAAACUUAAUUAGAGAGCAAUUAAUUUCUAGGUAGAUGUGGUGUCAUUGCUUGCACAUGCUGGGGUAUGCGUAAUCAGUGUGCACUUAGUUUACUGCUUUCUUGAGUGAUAUAUUGGGAACUAUUUGGGCCGCAAUGACGUUUUGUGCAGGUACACUAACAGCGCACGUGUAAAUCGUUAGUAACGUAUUGAGAGGCGAAUGUAUGCCACUACAUAUCCGUUAGAAUGGUAAUUUUCUAAGUUGUGAGGACGUAUGGAACAUGUAUGCAUCAUUUCGCACUCAUACAUACAUUCUAUCUACUCUCAAGCAUCUCUUUUAAAUUAAUAAGCAUCUCUUAAAUAAUCUCCUCUCACCCAUAAUUGUUCCAUUCACAGAUGGAUGUGCCUGCUUCACCUCUCCCGAGUGACACCUUUCUGAGCGAGUUUGGUACUCCUACCCUGUUGUGGAGAGUGCUGCAGUCAGUGGGGUAUAUGGAGCCACCUCAGUACUCUUGGUGGGAGAUGGAUAUGCAGGGAGGCUUGUGUUGGUUCGCUGUGCGUGGAGUAGUCCCUCGACACGAUGACAAGCCUGCAUGGUCAGGCUGGAACUGCAAUGCAGAUGGGUAGAAUCCUUGGGAGGCAGCUCAGGUUGCUGCCAAGCCAUUCUGCUCCAUAUCUAUGAGAGGUUUGGUGAUGAGUGUUGACGGUCCUUAAGUAUCAAGUUUAAUCAUCAAAUAAACAAAUAAAAGAAUCCAAAUGCAACCAACACCCAGACUUAGGGUUUUAUCUGACAGAAUUCCACGAGUUUUGGUGUUUGUCUAUUUCUGCAGGGGGUUAUCAGGAAAUAUGGAGGAAAGGCCCACACGUCGGGUUUACAUAGAGAUAUUAACGUGCCGUGCAAUUUUCUAUCAUCUAGAAGACUCCAGAAGCCAUGGGAACGAACGGGAGGCCGAGCGGGCUCGGGGACAGGGCGCCCGCCCUCCCCCCUUGGGUGCCCGCCCUGCUACAGGAACCAAUCAGGCUCCGCCUCGUGGAUCAUGCUCCACCGACCUAAAGCAUUAAGGAAAACUAUGCGAUUAAUGUCGGUUUGAUCCGACGGUCCAUAUUCAUUUGGAGGGACUAUAUAAGCAGACCCCCUGGCCCCUAGAGGAGACAACCCCUUCAUCCCUAUUCAUUAUUCAUAGACAGAGCAAAAGCUAGGGUUUGGAGAUGAGAGCUCUCCUCUCUUCUCUAAACUAGAGUAGAUCUAGAUAGUAGCGAGAUGGAGAGCGAGGGGGGAUUGGAGGAGAGGCCGGCCUAUCGGUUCUUCCUCCAGUUGUACUUCGCCAUGAUCAAGCUCUAAUCAAGCUUGCUCAUGGGAUGACUCUGGUAAUCUACUUCUAUUUCAUUAUGCAGUUACUAUUCAUGUAUGUUCUGGUUCACAACUCUUUUGAGUACUUUUAAUCUAUAGGACCCUAUAGGUUAGAGUUGUAGUGUAGGUGUAAGCAUGGUGCUUAGACCUAGAUUACUUGUGGAUAUCCCCUGACUAGCCGAAUCGUGUGGUUGGCUGCGUAGGUGACAGUUACGUUGGUCCCCUAUAGUCCACCUCCCAUUAGCAGGACUGGUAUGGUUUAUCGGCCUAUGGAUAAGCAUCCUUUGUGGUGUAUUCUUAUCACGUGGUUCGUCCCAGACAUAGACAUACCCCUUUGAAGUAGAGAAACCAUAGUUAUCCUCUCUAUUCUCCUACUAUCACCCAUAUACUAGAUUGCUCUACUCUCUAUUUCCAUAUUAUCACCCAUUGUUAUCUUACCUUUAAUAUUGUUCUUAUUCAAUUCUACCAUUUUUCCUAUUUAUACCUAUCUAUCUAUCUAGGUUCAGUUAGAGCGUAGAUCAGUUCUCCCGUUUCCCUGUGGAUACGAUAAAACCUUUAACCGGGUAAAUGCUACAACGGUAUCCGUGCGCUUGCAGAUUUAUCUGUGUGUGUAUAAAUACCAUAGUACACUCUAGUGCCAUGCUGGGGAUGACAACCUAGUAUUCAAGUGGUGUUAGCAAGUGUCAACAAGCUUUUUGGCGCCAUUGCCGGGGAGACUUUUGCUGAGUUGACUACGAACUAGCUUAAUCAUUUUCUACAAAAAUAAAAAAAUAUACUUUUCCUUUUAUCUUUUGCCUUAUCUCUGCUAUUCUUUCUUCUUAUCUAAUCCUUGAUCUCUAGUCUAUCAUGAAUUCAAACAUGUCUAUCUAUGAAUUUCAUAGACCUACGGGAACACAUCUCGAACCACCAAAAUCUUCAAAGCCUAUCAUGGCAUCUAGUUUUGAGAUAGACCCCGAAUACAUAGAAUUUGUUCAAAACCAACCUUUCUCAGGAGAAGGUGAAGAAAACCCAUACACACACCUAAGAGAGUUUUAUCAAGUCUGUGACCUCCUUCGCAUAGAAGGCAUGUCCAAUGAGACCCAUAAAUGGAAGCUCUUUCCAUUCUAAGCUAGACAUUGGUAUAAACUCAAAGUAGGGAGUGUUCAUGGAGAUUGGAAAGAGUUAUAUAAUAGUUUUCUUUUUAAAUAUUUUCCAAUCUCCAAAGUGGCGGAACUUUCGCAUGAGAUUAUUUCUUUUAGACAAUUGGAAGAAGAAUCUCUUGGCAAAUCAUGGGACCGCUUUGUUAACCUUACUCUCACUGGCCCAAAGCUUUCUAUUCCAGAAGAAGUUCUUCUAAUUCACUUUUUUGAGGGCCUUAGUAGGGAAAAUAAACAAACCUUGAAUACAGCCUCUAGAGGAUCCUUCUAUCACCUACCUGCUAGUGAAGCUAGCGAUUUAAUUGAUUCAUUAAGUGAAAAGUUUCCUAGCAUAUAUAUCCCUGAGAAAGAGAAAGAACCAGUUCCUAGACAAGAAGAAGAAGUUUCGAUAGCGAGAUCACAACCACUUCAAUCCCAAACUUUAGCUAUUGAUCCUAAACCAUCAAUAUCCCAAAAUUCUCCAAGGGAGGAAGGAAUUCCGACCUUAAAUCUUUCAGAUGCUGAUGGUUUAGACUUCUGGUUCCAUAAGAGAUCUUCAAGCAGGGAUAAUUCAAAUCCUUGCAAUGAUGGUUAUUUUAGAGAAUGUCCUGGUUCCUCUUAUGAAGAAAUCGAGGACGACAUAUUAAGUGAAGGAGAGCUAAACCAUAUAGAAGAUUCCAUCUGCUCCCCUUCCAUGUUCACAAAUUCUAAAUCCAUCCUUGACCUUAGAGACCCCUCUUAUCCCUCUCCUUUUAAGUCUCAUAAUGAUCCUAACAAUCCAUCAAGACGAUCAAACCAUAGGAGUCAUAAAGACCAUGAGGAUGACAUGUCAAGUAAUGUCAUAGAAGGAGAGCUAAGCCAUAUAGAAAAUUCUAACACCUCCCCUUUCCUGAUCACAAGUUCUAAAUGGCUAGAAUGUGUAGAAUGGAUGGAUAAGGAAGAAGCCUUAAUGGAUUCUAACUUUGGCUCAAUUUCAAAUGGUGAGUUCUUGACUCCCUUUGAAGAUGAGAUUCAUCCAACUACAAAAGAGGACAUAGGUGAGACCAAUCUAGGAGAAACUCCAAACAUUCAGAUUGGAGACGAAGAUAACAUUAAUGAGCAUGGAAUUUAUUUUAUAGCCACCUCAUUUACUCCAUGCUCAUAUGCAACAUCUUCCCAAUCUAUUGGUCUCUCCAACAUCACCACAUUUGAGAUCUCCAACCCCCUCUUCCUUUCUAUUUAUAAAAACUUUAAAAGGGCGGUUGUCGAUGCAUAUGUCUAUAAUAAAUAUUGCAGAUCUCGUUGAGUUGAUCUUGAUAUAGGUCAGCGUUGGAAGGGAAACCACUUCGCCGACAUAAAUUGAUGGUUUCCCAAGAACAAGCUUAGUGUCCUAAAAUAAGCACUGAUCAGAUCGUAACAUGAGCUUUUAAUUAUUUACAACAUUACCUUGUGUAUUGAGCAUAUAAGGAUAAUUGUAAAAAUAUUCCUUCAGGUAUUCUUGUCACUAACCUUCCCAGGAUUGGAGCAAGAAGAUCGGAUGAAUGACAAGCACAAGGUAUGUCCAACCAAUCAUCAUACAACAUUGAAUUAAAUUCAUCCAAACUUGAAUUUUGCAAAAUUCAAGCUUGGGGGAGUACUUUACAUAAAAACUUCCUUUGCCAUGUUGCUAUGUUGGUUGUCCCUAACUUUGAGACAUGCUCAAUUUGUUAAAUACUAAUCACACUACUUCAUCCCCACUUGAGUAGAUCUCUAUAAAUGCCAUCACGCUACCUUUGUUUAUCCUAGUAAGUGUUAGUUUGGAAGUACUGCACAUACUUCUAUUGGCUUUUAAAUUAAGCAUAGUGCUUAGGUUAAAUAGCCUUCCUUAAUCUGAUUAGACAUGGAGUCUAGUUCGGUUAUUGAACUAAAAACUGCUUGUAUAGACAUUGGUAUAUUUUGUCGGCCUAACCCCUGUAGAAAAACUUUCAAUAUCAAUUUGGGAAGUCCUAAGGUAAACUCACAUCGGAGAUGAAGAGAGAGACACAUGAAGUGUAACAAUUUGCACAAGAAGGACAUAGCCCAUUCAUCAUAGAGAGAUGAUCCAUGAAAGGAGACAAAGUACAUAAACAAGAUACACAACCACUACGAAUGGGAAGCUUCCACAAGGUGAGAUGGUACCAUCACUCUUCAAUUAAGGUAACAUCUUAAGAUUAGUGACUAUCACUUUUAUAAGCUUCUCCUUGGUUCUGGCGUUCACAUAAAUAAAGAGACAAACAUGUAUGAUUUUGUUGACACCGUUUUUGGGCACGUGUCCAGGAUGGCAGGAUAGGGUGGCAGUACAAUGCGGGUUGCUGAUGAGGAUGGUUGCCGAUGAGGGAGAGGUUGAAUGUGACUAAGUCCACAGGCAGUAAUAUGGUGCCGAUGGCUGGAUAAAAAGGUCUGCUGAUGACUAUGGCAAGGGGAUUGCCGAUGACGCGAAGGAGGAGUCCGGAAGCUGCCAGUUGUCAUCUGGAGGAGUUUCGGUUUGUUACGAAGGAUAGUUUUAUUAUUUCCUUAGUUAUUUGCAUCGUUUUGUAUACGGAUUCCGUGUAAUUUGGAAUUCGAAUUCUAAUCGUGUCUGGUCGUAGCUCUUUGAGCCGGGUAUAAAUAUAAACCCUAAGACCUUGUAAUCAAGAUAUCAAGAAAUCAAUCAAACGCACGUUUUUACUCAUAUUCCAGCAUCUACUUUUCGACGACUUCGUCAUACUUUUUCCUUUUUAUUACGAGUUCUUAGGAAUUCGUCGACUUAAGCUCGACGUGUUCUCGAGUUCCGCGUGAGUACCUCUUAGCCGUGACAUCCGGGCGCAUCGCUGUUGUCAGGACUAAAGUAUUCGAGUUAUCACCUUUGCCGAUAGCAAGGUCAAAUCGGCUGGCACGCCUUAACGUUUGAAUCGGGUAUUAGCCCUUUGUGUUUGCAGAUCAGUUUUGCAUCAACACAUCUUUUGGCACGCCCGGUGGGACGACAAAGGCCACUUCCUCCAUGGUGCCCUCAAGGAUUAACCAAGACACAGAAAAGGAGAUUGCAACGAGAAAGGCAAGAGGAGCUAAACAAGGGAGAGAACUCUGGAAGUCGGCAGCCGUCAGACACUAAGAGGGAAGGUCCAUCGGCAGGCGUCAACAUGGUCUUCAUGUUGCCGAUGGAGUUUCUUGCACCAGCCAGUGACGAUGACCUGGAAUUUUCUGAUCAGAUAGCUCAGUUGGCUCUGGAUCCGAUGACGGCUAUCUUUGAGAAACCUGCCGAUGACGAGAGGCAGCAUCUUAAAGCUUUGUUCCUCAAAGGAAGGGUUGAUGGGCAGCCAAUGACUAAGAUCCUAGUUGAUGGUGGAGCUGCUAUUAACAUUAUGCCGUAUGCAGUAUAUCGGAAGCUUGGGAAAGGGGAUCAAGAUUUGACCAAGACCGAUAUGAUGCUCAAAGACUUUGAAGGAAACGUGUCUCCAGUCAAGGGGGCGAUAUGCGCAGAGUUGACCAUCGGCAGCAAAACCUUGCCGACAACUUUUUUCGUGAUCAGCGGAAAAGGUGCCUACUAUUUAUUAUUGGGGAGAGAUUGGAUUCAUGCCAAUUGUUGUGUCCCAUCUACAAUGCACCAGUGUUUGGUUCAGUGGGUAGGUGACAAGAUUGAGAUCGUCCCAGGGGAUUCUUCUUAUGUUAUCGCAUCGGCAGAAGCGGAUACUUAUGAAAAGACUAGGUGCAUUUCAGGAGAAGUUUGGGAGAAAGAUUUUCUCAAAGUUGCCGAUUAUGAGAUUCCACCGAUCCAAGCAGUCGGUUCUGACGACGGUUUUUAAUGGAUAGAUUCGCCGAUGAUGGAAAAUUAGGCCAGGGAUUCACAUCGGCCGAUGAUUUGGUAGAAGUAGAUAUAGGUAGUGGUGAUAAGCCUAGGCCUACUUUUAUUAGUGCUAAAUUAGAUCCUGAGUGUAAACGGCAGUUAACUAGUUUGUUAAAGGAAUAUAAAGAUUGCUUUGCUUGGGAUUAUACAGAGAUGCCUGGUUUAGACCGAUCAAUUGUUGAACAUCGGUUACCCAUCAAGUCUGGAUUUCGGCCACAUCAGCAACCAGCCCGCCGAUGUAAUCCUAACAUUCUACCUAAUAUUAAGGCCGAAAUCACUAAACUUAUUGAAGCUAAGUUUAUUCGGCAGUGUCGGUAUGCCGAAUGGAUUUCCAAUGUUGUUCCGGUUUACAAGAAGAACGGGAAGCUUCGGGUGUGCAUUGAUUUCAGGAAUCUCAAUAAAGCUACGCCGAUGGAUGGAUACCCAAUGUCUGUCGCCGAUCUACUGGUUGAUGCUGCGGCUGGCCAUCGGGUCAUCAGCUUCAUGGAUGGUAAUGCGGGUUACAAUCAAAUAUUCAUGGCAGAGGAGGAUAUUCCAAAAACCGCAUUCAGGUGUCCUGGUCAUGUUGGACUAUUUGAAUGGAUAGUCAUGACUUUUGGGUUAAAGAAUGCUGGUGCUACUUAUCAAAGGGCUAUGAAUUUUAUAUUUCAUGAGUUCAUCGGCAAGAUCGUAGAAAUUUAUAUUGAUGAUGUGGUGGUUAAGUCUGGAGGUUUCUCAAAGCAUCUUGCUGAUUUACGAAAAGUGUUGGAGUGCACCAGGAAGCAUGGAUUGAAGAUGAACCCCAACAAGUGUGCAUUUGGCGUAUCGGCAGGGCAGUUUCUUGGUUUUAUGGUACAUCAGAGGGGUAUUGAAAUUAGUCGAAGAUCUAUUGAUGCCAUCAAUAAAAUAGUGGCCCCUACCAAUAAAACCGAGCUCCAAUCCUUGAUCGGCAAGGUGAAUUUUAUCAGAAGAUUUAUAUCGAAUUUAUCUGGGAGAAUUCGUGCUUUCAGUCCUCUUCUUAAAUUGAAAGCCGAUCAGGAGUUUGUUUGGGGAGAAGAACAGCAGUUGGCUCUGGAUGAAAUCAAAAAGUAUCUAGUAAAUCCUCCAGUUUUAGUUCCACCUCAACAAGGGAAACCCUUCAAAUUAUAUUUAUCUACCGAUGGAUCGGUUAUCGGUUCAGCUUUGGUUCAAGAAUUUGAAGGGAAAGAGAGAGUAAUUUAUUAUUUGAGUAGGAGGUUGAUUGAUGCUGAAACCAGGUAUUCGGCCAUUGAGAAACUAUGCUUAUGCUUAUAUUUUUCAUGUAUCAAGCUGAGACAUUACCUGUUGUCGGCUGAAUGUGCUGUUGUUUGCAAAGAUGACGUGGUCCGAUACAUGCUAUCUAUGCCGAUUAUGAGUGGUAGGAUCGGUAAAUGGAUUUUAGCGCUGUCGGAGUUCGAUUUGCGUUACGAAUCGGCUAAGGCGGUCAAAGGGCAGAUCAUGGCCGAUUUUGUGACUCAGCAUUGCGGUCUAGUGGAAACAUUGGAAAUUGCACCCUGGACGCUCUUCUUUGAUGGAUCUACCUGUGACCGGGGGGCAGGAAUCGGCAUUGUAUUGGUUUCUCCUAAGGGGAGGAAGUAUGAGUUUUCCUUGCCGAUUGUUGCUACAUCAACAAAUAAUCAGGCUGAGUAUCAAGCUCUGAUCAAGGGAUUGGAGUUGUUAAGAGAAGUUCGUGCUGAUGCUGUCGAAAUAUUCGGGGAUUCCAUGUUGGUUAUAAAUCAAUUGGCCGGAAGCUAUGAAUGCCGAAGUGAAGUUCUCAUAACCUAUUUCGAGAGAAGUAUGCAACUGUUAAAGGAAUUCAAGAACUUCCGAUUGGAGCAUGUUCCCCGAUUACAUAAUGAAGACGCUAAUCGGUUAGCCCAGCAUGCCUCAGGAUAUCAGCCAAUGAUUAAUGCGACAUCGGCAGUCAGUGCCGAUGAUUGGAGGAAAGAAAUUAUCGACUAUCUAGAAGAUCCAUCCAAAAAGGUUGAAAGACGGGUUCGAUUUCAAGCGACCAAGUAUGUGCUCCUUGAAAAUGAAUUGUAUUAUCGAACUAUCGACGGAAUUCUUCUCCGAUGCUUGGGUGGUGAUGAAGCCAGAAGUUUGAUGGGGGAAAUCCAUGAAGGAGUGUGUGGAGCGCAUCAGUCAGCUUUUAAGAUGAAGUGGAUGAUUCGAAGGAAUGGAUAUUUUUGGCCAACCAUACUUGAAGAUUGUUUUAAAUAUUUCAAGGGAUGUCAAGGUUGUCAAAAGUUCGGUAAUAUCCAGAGAGCACCCGCAUCGGCUAUGAAUCCUAUAAUAAAACCUUGGCCGUUCCGGGGGUGGGCCAUCGAUCUGAUCGGCCAGAUUUAUCCACCAUCUAGCAAAGGGCAUAAGUUCAUUCUAGUUGCCACUGACUAUUUCACUAAGUGGGUCGAAGCUAUUCCUUUGAAGAAAGUCACAUCGGCCAAUAUGAUUGAUUUUGUGAAGGAGCAUAUUAUUUACCGAUUUGGGAUUCCCCAAACGAUUACUACCGAUCAGGGCACCAUGUUCACGUCGGGGGAGUUCGAUGAAUUCGCAAUCGGUAUGGGAAUUAAAGUGUUGAAUUCUUCUCCUUACUAUGCUCAAGCCAACGGGCAGGCCGAAGCGUCUAACAAAGGAAUUAUCAAGCUUAUUAAACGAAAGAUUGAAGAAAAUCCUAGGCGGUGGCAUACAUUGUUAAAUGAAGCACUGUGGUCUUAUCGGAUGGCUUGUCAUGGAUCAACCAAGGUGUCACCUUAUCAAUUGGUGUAUGGACAUGAUGCAGUGUUGCCUUGGGAAAUUAAGGCUGGAUCUAGGCGAUUAUCUUUUCAAGAUCAAUUGGCUGCCGAUGAUUAUGCCACUUUGAUGACCGAUGAGUUAGAUGAUUUAGCAGGGCAUCGGUUAAAGGCUUUAAUGAGUAUAGAAGAAAAUAAGAAGAGAGUUGCUAGAUGGUAUGAUAAAAAAGUAAAGGCUAAGGAGUUUGCCGAUGGGGAUUUGGUAUGGAAGUUGAUUUUGCCAGUCGGGACUUAAAGUUCGAAGUUUGGGAAGUGGUCUCCUAAUUGGGAAGGUCCUUAUCGGAUAAGACAUUCAGCUCCUGGUAAUGCCUAUAUUCUAGAAACUCUCGAAGGAGUUGAAUUUCCCAGAGCAUUAAAUGGCAAAUAUUUAAAGAAGUACUACCCCAGCAUAUGGGUUGACGCAUAAAAGUUUAAGUGCCGAUAACACUCCUAUCGGCUGGAUUUAAAUGUUCGGGGGCAGACUUAAUGUUUCAAAAGAUGCCGAUAACAGUCUUAUCGGCUAGACUAAAAGCUAAAAGCGGAAAAACAAAGGUGUGUUGCCGAUGAAAGCUUCAGAUGUUCAGCAGCGCUUGGAUUGCUGAUAUGGCGCGCAGCCGAAUCUGAUUGGCUGUCUCUAUCUCUUUGAUAUCAUCAUCGGCAGAACCUUCUAUCGGCUUCAGCUUCCUCUUCAGCUGCAGCGCUUUGCGACCAUGGACGUUUCGUUCUUGUUCAAGGUGCUUGAUGGUCUCCGGCAGUUGACUCUCUUCUUGCUGGGCUUGGGACAGAGCGUCCUCUACUUGCUUGAGUUCGGCCAGUAGAGCUUCUCUUUUUGCCAAUAGAUCAGACACUUUCUGCUUCAGUGCAUCACCUGAGGACUUUAAGGUGCCGAUGUUCUUAUGUUUCUCAUCGGCUAGGAGUUUUUCUUUCAUCAUCUCCUCAGAAAGCUGGAUUUGAGCGGCUCUAUCGGCAAGGCGUUGAGUGGCUCUCUGGUACUGUAGCUGGCGGCUUUCUAGGUGUGCAGCAUGGAAGAGUGUUUCUUCAGCAUCGGCAGGAAGUUGGCCUCUAAGGGUCUUGAACAGGGCUUUGGCUGGGUCAGAAUCAUUGACCAGUUGAGUUGUGUCUUGAUGAAGUAUGGCCGAUAGCUCUUCCAGCUUAGCUCUGGUUUCUGCCGAUACAGUUCCAACUGCCCGGGAGGAGCUUGCUUCCUCGCCUUCUUCUUCGAAGAUAUCAAUGGCGAAGGAGAAUAAGCUGUUGGGAGAAUCUUGUUCCUGAAAAUGAAGACGAAAUAAGUCAGUUUUAUGGUCAAAACUUCGGCAGACGAUACUGGUGGAAAAUUGGAUGACUUACUUGCUUCAAGGCGAUUUCUUGCCUUUGACUCAAAAAUGCCGAUGGAGCUACAGGUUGAUCGGCAAAUAUUGCCGAUGGAACGAUAUCGCCUGAAAGAAGACAGGAAGGAUUAUGAGACUAAAUGAGAAUAAGUUUAUCGGCGGAAGUAUUGUUGAGAUAUGUUACCCGGAGGAGAGAGAACAGCUGCCUGAGUCGGGGAAACCGCCGAUGAUAUAACUGGGCCUGCCAGGCCAGUUGUUUGUUCACUUACGUCAGCUGAUGUACCUGCCGUUUGAGGUUCUUCCUGCUGGGGUUCUUCCAUCUGUGGUGCUUCCUGUAUUGGUUGGGGAGAUGGUGCUUGCUGUGUCUGGACUUCUGGAGGAGAAGGGGAAGAUUCCACCGGGAUUGGGGACACCGGAGGAGGAGUUGCCACUUUCUGGCGCUUUGUUCCAGCCUUAGCACCCUGGGUGCCCUUCCUCUUUGGCUGGCUAGACUGGGGGGCAUCGGCACCUUGGCGUUUGGCUUUUGCCGAUGCACCAGUUUGCUGCAACAACAAAAAGGAGUUUAUGAGCACAGAUAACCGAUACAAAGAUAGUCAGCAUAAAUGAAAAAGGUUUUAACAGAUUGCCUUGAAAGCUUGCGCCAGAGUAGAAGCAGUUACCGUUGGUGAUGUCUGAGUUUUCCUGGUGGUAACUUUCUUGAGACGCGCACCCCGGUGCACGAUGGAAGCCAGAGUGGGAGCAUAAUGGCCGAUUGAGGAGAUCGGGCCUGAUGGGAAUAAGUCGAUCGGCUUGCCACUCCUGCUAACCGAUGUGGGGGUGUUGUCAAUCUGCAAAAGGAAUACAGGGGUAAGUUACCGAUGGGAAUAGUAUUGGAAAAUGAGACAUCGGUUUAAAAUACUUACAGUGUCAUCAGGGACUUCGUAUUCGGGGUCGAUCAUGCCGCGGUAUGAGAGGGCCGAUCUGCAGAAUAGAUUCUCUUUCCAUUCUGCCCACCAUAGCUUGUAUGCCUGAGUGAUAAAGGCAGCUGGAACCCAUUCUGACAGAUCUACAUCUGUAUCGGCAUUUGGUGGUAGCUGGGCUACUCGAGUCCACUCGAGGAGGUUGGCGAUGGGUUCUCUGGGCUUUAUUACAUCAGCAUAAGGAAGUGCAAUCGGCAAUUGGCCGAAAGCUAGCUGGCGAGCUAAUGCCGAUGGGUUAUAAAAUUCAUAGGUUUGGGGGGAGGUUUUCGUGCUACCGAAAAAAUUCACUGGUAUGGCUCUGGGAGUCACGAUUGCCAUCAUCACCUCAUUGUCCCUGUCAAGAGCUUCAUCAAAUGGAUUGAAGGUCAGAGGGAGCAUGCUGUCUGGGUCGUCAUAAGCCAGCCAUGGUCGUUCAUCUCUGGCCAGACACUCAUACAGAGUCUCGAAGAAUCGGCCGAUCUGAUCCGGAUUGUUCCCUGAACCGGGUAAGACUAUAACGGCUUCACCAAAGUUCAAGGGGGCACGCGUUGCCGAUUCCUCUUCACCUAACACAUGAUUCUCGGCUAUAUCUCUUGGGAAGUGCUGUGAGAACAAGUUGAAAUCAAGGCGCUUAUGCAGGUGCAGAUUGAGCCACAUAUUAAUAAACCACCAGGGGCCUCCCAAGUUGCCGAUGGAUUGGCCAAGCAGGAGUUUCUGGGCUACCUGAUGAAGAAGGUGGUAAACAGCGCCGAGGAAAUAUCGGCCGAGAGGAAAUUGGCCGCCGCUAGCCAGUCUUUCUGCUGCCGAUAGAUAGACAGAAGUCGGUCCUGCCGAUCGACCACAGAAUACAAACUUGUCCAGCCACAUGUUCAGAAAGGUGGUUUGCUCCUUUGUGGUGACAGAACCUCUCCCGCGGUACUUCUGGAUGUACCCUGACCAACCGCCGAUAGCGCGAGUCUCCACUUUGGCACUGGGGGCGGUAUCAAAAAAGUGGGUGCUAUCGGCAGAAGAUAUAUCUAGCCCAGUAAGCAUGGCUACAUCGGCAAGGGUAGGAGAAGCAGGGCCGUGGCCAAAAACAAAAGCAUUGAGAGUGUCUGACCAAAAGUAGGAUGCAGCUAUCAGCAAUGACUCGUUCCUGUGCAUAUCGGCAAUGGAUAGCCUAAUGCAUUGAGCUAGCUUCCUCUCACCCCAUUGAACUUCAUAAGAAUUGCUGACCCUCAAGAACCAAUCUUUCCACCCUACAGUAGGGCUGGGCCAAGAACGAAAGGUGUCUUUCCACAGAUCUAAAGAAAAAUUUUCAGCUCUAAAGGGAAUCCUGUUGGUUUCUGCAUUGAUAAGGUCGGUUGGAUCUGGAUCCCCUAGAGGGCCGAGGCACUGAAGGUGUGGUUGAUCGGUAGGGAUGACAAUUUUGUUGGACAACUCCUAGUGUUUUGGGGAAUAAAAAUACAAAGAAAAAGGAAAAGGAAAAUGUUCGGUAAGAUGAAUCGCAGAUGAACAGGAAUGCGAGAAAAAGGUACAACAGAUGAGAUGGAAGUCUGACCUCAGGGACGAUGAAGCCAAUGGCCAUCUUGUCGUGAAGAGGACGUUGGAGGGCACCGGAGUUGAUGAAGAAGAGUGCUUGUCGGAGGUCUUGAGGGUUGUAGAUGGCGCCGCCGCUGGAAAAGCAAAGUUGGAUAGUAGAAUGGUGUAAUGGGGGAGGAGUACCCAAGAAGGAACUAUUUAUAGGACAAGAUGGGCAAGGGCAAAUCCGUCUUAUCUCUUUGCCGCAUCCGAGAAGCCCGAGGGUACUCAGGUGGAUAUGGUAACUGUUCGCACGGUAAUCCAGGGAUUGUGCAGGUGAUUUGACAGGAAGCGGUCAUUAUCUAAAGAUAUUUUACUGUGCGCGAUCUCCUGGUCGGUCCAUCGGCGAUAUUCUAUAACGGUCAUCUUGCCGAUGGGCGGAUAGACGGGGGGUAACCGUUUUUUGCGAAUAUCCUGGUCAGAGCAUCGGCAGAUCUUUAUAACGGAAUUGUUGCCGAUGUACUACCAAGAAAGAUGCCCGUUUAGGAAGUUGGGAAUUUCGAGGAAUCUGCGGAGGAUUAGGAUCAGAGUUGUCCAGAUUGAGGUUGUCGGUUACCGGAUUAGGAGCAUUAAUUGCGGAGAAGGUAUCAUUACUGCAGAGAAUUUCGGAGCAUUAAUAGUUUUAUACUCCGAAACUGGGGGGCAUGUGUUGACACCGUUUUUGGGCACGUGUCCAGGAUGGCAGGAUAGGGUGGCAGUACAAUGCGGGUUGCUGAUGAGGAUGGUUGCCGAUGAGGGAGAGGUUGAAUGUGACUAAGUCCACAGGCAGUAAUAUGGUGCCGAUGGCUGGAUAAAAAGGUCUGCCGAUGACUAUGGCAAGGGGAUUGCCGAUGACGCGAAGGAGGAGUCCGGAAGCUGCCAGUUGUCAUCUGGAGGAGUUUCGGUUUGUUACGAAGGAUAGUUUUAUUAUUUCCUUAGUUAUUUGCAUCGUUUUGUAUACGGAUUCCGUGUAAUUUGGAAUUCGAAUUCUAAUCGUGUCUGGUCGUAGCUCUUUGAGCCGGGUAUAAAUAUAAACCCUAAGACCUUGUAAUCAAGAUAUCAAGAAAUCAAUCAAACACACGUUUUUACUCAUAUUCCAGCAUCUACUUUUCGACGACUUCGUCAUACUUUUUCCUUUUUAUUACGAGUUCUUAGGAAUUCGUCGACUUAAGCUCGACGUGUUCUCGAGUUCCGCGUGAGUACCUCUUAGCCGUGACAUCCGGGCGCAUCGCUGUUGUCAGGACUAAAGUAUUCGAGUUAUCACCUUUGCCGAUAGCAAGGUCAAAUCGGCUGGCACGCCUUAACGUUUGAAUCGGGUAUUAGCCCUUUGUGUUUGCAGAUCAGUUUUGCAUCAACAGAUUUAUAACUCCAAAUUAACCAACCCAACUGAUUCAGCAUGUUUAGUCCUUUAAUCUUUGUUCCUAGUACUACCUCCAUGCUCCCACACUCCUAAUCAUAUGAGCUAAAAUGUUGCACAUUAAAUCUUUGGGAAGAUAUAAAGAAAAAGACAUAUACAUAAAUAGAUUAUUUUCCAUAAAAUUGAGCGAUCUGAUGUGACAAAACUUUUAAAUGCUACACUCAUGAACUUAUCACCCAUCAACUUUGUCUUGUGCUUAAGGAUAGAGAAGAAUAAAUAUACUUUUGGUUAUGUUGGUGUUUUCCAUCAACAGGGCCCAUGCACUUGAUCUCUGCCUUAUCUCUAUGAGCAGGUACACUUGGAGCAAAACAUGGUGGAGUUUUACAACUCCUAGAUUCCACCAAGUGAAGGACCUAGAUCUACAAACACAAACACACUGAGCAGGAUGCUGCCAACGCUACACUUCGAACUGCUGGGCAAUCGAAGAACAUGGGUGACACCGUAUCAAGAGGUGCAGACGUCAAGGUCCGCACCUGAAUCAAAUGGCGCACCUAAAGAAUGAACACGGUGAGAAGUCUUGUUCAGAAGCCUUAAAACAUUGAACCCUCGCCAAAAGUUAAAAUCCCAUAUUUAUCCUUUUUGCAUUCCCUUUUUCCUUAAAUUAUUUACUUUCCUUAAAUAGCUUGUUAGUUAAUUAUGCUAUCUUGAAUAUAAAUUAGAAAUGUUAAAAACAGUAAGCCCUAUGUGAGUAUGCUCGUGGCAUAAAACCCAUAAGUACAUUCACUGUGGUGGCGUAAAAAUAAAAAUAUUCCUGACCUAUAAAAAUGAAAAUAUAAAAAUAAAUUUAUGAUCCUACCAAAGAGAGUAAUAUUUAUUAGAGGAAGCUCAACAUGAUAAAGGCAAAGAGAUUUUAUGCUAACACUUAACCAGUUUCACAAAGCUUUGUUGUCUAUUUGGGCUCCACAGAAUUCAAGGAUCAAAGAAGACUAGCAGACGAAGGACAUCCUAAUCGCUGUUAGGGUGCUGCCGACAUUCAAAUACACCUCCGCCACCUGCUAGCUACAUCAGAAGAAAUUACGUUAAAAUCCAGCUUGGGGGAGAGCACCCCCAUUUACCCAGCUAAGUGUUUAUAUUCACAUUUAUACUUUACUCAAAUAAUAAAAAGAUGCAUAAUCAUAAAAACCUAAAUAAAGAUUUUAUGCUUAUAUAUAUCUUUUCUUAGUUUGCUAAAUAAAUCAAUAAAUAAAGUUUGCUAUGAACCCUCAUGAUAAGCGCUCACAUGGAAAUGAUGAAUAGUUGCUCUGCCAUGACUAGUUCUCAAAAUUGAAUUCUCUCUCAAGUUUAGACAUGACUGUUAUGAAUUAAGAUUUGCUCUAAACCUGAACUUAUGGGAAGACUACUUGAUCUAAAGUCUAUGUCGUUAACGGAUAUAAUAAGGGAAGAUUGAGUUGUUGUUUAUCUGUUCCUAGAGAUGCUAGAAUUCUGGAGAAUUUUAUCUUUAAAAAUCUUUAAAAUGUUGCAUGAUGAGUUCCUGUAUGAUGAGAGUUUAAAAUCCUACCACAGCCAUAUAUACAUGCUUAUUAGACUAUGAACCAUACAUUUACUUUUUACUACUUAUGAGCAUUGAGUGUGGUCAAGCUGUGUAGACCCUUAGGAGCUUGUCAUGCGGUUAAAAUCAAGAUUCACUUGCACGUUCACUCAUACAUGCCGCUUCUACUCCGAAAGUACGCAUCCACAUACAUCCACUCAUUUCCAUCUCCAGAUUCACCCAAAAUUAUUCUACACCUAUCCGGGAGAGAAUAGCCAAAAACAUUAUCCCAUUCCAGUUUUUCCCUGUGAAAUAAAUGCUCGAGAUAUUUUCGUUACUACCACUUGCUACAUUAUUCUAGGAGGGUGAGUGCUCUAAAAAAAGAGAGAGAAGAAAAAAGAAAAAAAAUAUGAGGAAGUAAAAAGGGGCAAGUGCCCGGAACCUCGAAGAAAAAAAAAAGGUGAGACGAGAGGUAAUAAUGGACAAGUGUCCAACAGUAGAAUUAGGGGUACAAGAUACCCACCUGAGAGAAAAGAAAAAGAAAAUAUAGAGCAUCUCAUUCCCCUCAAAAAGCUUCAAAGUGCAAGAAAGGUAUGUGUCCCCUCAAAAGAGCAAACGUAGAAUUAGACUUUCACCAUUGUUUUCACCAUUAUCACCAUCAUCACCAUACACCAUUCAUUAGCCACACAUGCACAUCUUGAUUUGACUUAUUGAAUUGUUCUUCUAGAUCCAUGGUUUGACUAUAUAAUAAAUGUCUUGUAAGUAUGUAUUAGCUAUCUCCCACCUAUGAGCUCCAGAUAUCAAAACCUUAUUAGAGUAGGGUGAGAGAGAAGGUAAUGUCACUAUGCCUCAUACCACAAAUACCACAUACUUUGAGAGAAGGCAUAUAACAUCAUUGCCUUGGUAAGGAUCUAGAAAUACCACAAAACAGAGAUUUGAGAGAGUCAUACGAAGGAAUCUCUAAGUUUUAUUUGAAAAUCUGCAAAAAAAACUCCAGAGCUAUAGUUGCUCAAAGAAUAAGAGACAUGGUGCUUGACUUGACCAUUCUAUCUUUUAACUGCUCAAGACAUAAGUGACGGUUGCAAGCCCCAUGGUGAAAGGUAAAAUGAGUAAGUUUUAAGUCUUAACAGUUUACUCUAACUCAGAGAUAAGACCUUGUUUGAAAGCAUGUGUACCGUCAACUUUCUAAGGCAUUGCAGCAAUUUUUGAUCCAUCACUAAGUCUAUCCUUGCUCAGGGACGAGCAAGAGGUAAGCUUGGGGGAGUUUGUUGACGGUCCUUAAGUAUCAAGUUUAAUCAUCAAAUAAACAAAGAAAAGGAUCCAAAUGCAACCAACACCCAGACUUAGGGUUUUAUCUGACAGAAUUCCACGAGUUUUGGUGUUUGUCUAUUUCUGCAGGGGGUUAUCAGGAAAUAUGGAGGAAAGGCCCACACGUUGGGUUUACAUAGAGAUAUUAACGUGCCGCGCAAUUUUCUAUCAUCUAGAAGACUCUAGAAGCCACGGGAACGAACGGAAAGCCAAGCGGGCUCGGGGACAGGGCACCCGCCCUCCCCCCUUGGGCGCCCGCCCUGCUACAGGAACCAAUCAGGCUCCGCCUCGUGGAUCAUGCUUCACCGACCUAAAGGAUUAAGGUAAACCGUGCGAUUAAUGUCGGUUUGAUCCGACGGUCUAUAUUCAUUUGGAGGGACUAUAUAAGCAGACCCCCUGGCCCCUAGAGGAGACAACCCCUUCAUCCCUAUUCAUUAUUCAUAGACAGAGCAAAAGCUAGGGUUUGGAGAUGAGAGCUCUCCUCUCUUCUCUAAACUAGAGUAGAUCUAGAUAGUAGCGAGAUGGAGAGCGAGGGGAGAUUGGAGGAGAGGCCGGCCUGUCAGUUCUUCCUCCAGUUGUACUUCGCCAU
This 83412-nucleotide long non-coding RNA is filed under the name Sorghum bicolor (sorghum). RNAcentral's name for it is "long non-coding RNA (SBIC_LNC017848)". The record is from RNAcentral. Lineage: Eukaryota; Viridiplantae; Streptophyta; Magnoliopsida; Poales; Poaceae.